AAACCAUCUGGAAUAGUCUCAAAGGUAAAAUCAGUGAAACCAUCAAAGGCUUUUGGACCUCUUGAUUUGAGCAAACGUUUGUGAUUGUAUUCGGUGUUGACAAAGGUUAUGUGAAAGCCUCUAAGAUGAAGAAGUUUUGCUAGUUUUAACAACGGAUUGAUAUGGCCUUGAAGUGGAUAUGGAGUUAUCACUGCAUGUGGCUUAAUUCUCUCUGCAAAAUUGCUCAUGUUUGAAUUUGUGUGUGUAAGAUAAGUUUAAGAAUAAAGGGAUACAAGUGAUCUUUGCUUUAAUAGAGAGAAAAUGUCAUCUUCAUUGUUUGGUGUAAGAAAAUGAGGGAAGUACAAAGGAUAAGUGUUAUACCCUGUUUUUGGACCUAAAAAUACUGGGCCCAAUUUCAUUUCAAACUUUGUCAAUUAUCAAAUUUCAACUGCACAGUUCAAAUUGUCUCUGCCUCGCAGUAUUUUUCAAUCACAAUUUUACCUAUGUUUUUCUUGCAUAAAACCUUUCGAAAUGUCUUUACUUGUCUUGUAAGUCAUUCAAAAGUGUCUCUGAAUCAUUACAUUGCUUUUUCCACAGUUUAUUUCAAAAUUUGCAAAGAAGUCAUACAGAAGGGUAUUUUGGUCAUUUCCCGCAGUGGGACCCAUUUUCAUCCUUGUGACUGUCUCUGAGUCUUUUCAAAUUCAUUUUUAACUUUCCAUCAGUAAACCUUGCUAAUUUCGUUUCAAACUUGCAUCUGAGUCAGUGUCGAGUUAAUUUGAUUCUGUUUAGGUCAUUUUUAGCCCUAGGGGCAUUUUGGUCAUUUCACAUAAAAUUUUGGCAUGGGGAGGUUACUUUGAAGUACCUCAUUUAGGCCAUUGGUUCGUUUUAGUCCGUUUUGUCAAUUUUAUUUUUUUGUUUCGCUUUACGUUUUGUCAGGUUACCAAUUUUAUUUCAAUUUUAUUUUAUUUUGCAUUUUGGUCCUCAAAGAGGUCCAAAAUUGCAUUUCAGUCCAGAAUUCUUUCUAUUUGCAUUUUUAGUCCUUUUUGUUAUUUCCAUUUUAGUCCUUUAAUUUUUCAAUUUUGCAGAAAAGGGCUCAAAGUGUCAAGCUCACGUUUUUUUUCAGUUAAAGUCCAGAUGUCACAAUUCUAUUGGUCCAAGAUCACACAUGUCAGCUAUAAAAGGUGUACAGUGCCACACAGACCCAUUAAUCACACGCCAACUCAUAAACACAAAAUCAAUUUUCUCUUUCUCAGCAAUUAGAUCAAAAACAGAAAAUCUCUCAGAAUUUCUCAAGAACACCAGGAACAAAAACCCUAACCGUUUUCCAGAAACCCUAAUUUUCAUCAGAAUCAACAUUUUUUGCAUCAAUCCUCAGAGAUUCGUGUGAAUCUUCAUCACCGGACUGAAGAUUUUCCUGCAAUUCCAAGUGCGAGCUCGCAUUGAAGCAAGCUCAAGCACUGAUCACAGGAUCUCCUCGCGUGGAUCUAAGAAACAUUGAAGCAAGCUCAAGCACGUAAUCACAGAGAAGCAGAGAAAGAGUCAGAGAAGAUGAAGAAUCUGGACCGGUGAAGCAAACAGAAUCAAAAAUCAUCAAGAACAGAAUCAAGAUUUCCAAAGAUUUCCUCCAUUAAAGGUUUCAACCAAAACCUUAGGUAAAACUCAUAAUCUUUUCUCAGAAAAUAAUAUCACUGUUAAACCUAAAAAUCACGCAAGCAAAACAGAUCCAAAAUUUCCAGAAUUCAAAGCCAAAACCGUAACCGUGAACACAAAACCUAGAUCCAUAAGGAUCUAAGUUUUGAAAGCAAAAACAAACAUCAAAGAGGUGUUAAACAACGAAAUGAUGUAGAUCUUCAAGGAUCUAAACGUUUUCUUUCAAAAAAUCAAAAUCAAAUUCAAAGCCGUACGACAAAUUUCCAGAUCUACAUCGUUUCGAAUUGAAUUUGAAAAAACAAUUGCUGGAUUCGUGUUUAGGGUUAAAGGACGAAUUGAUUGAUGAAGAAAUUUUGAAAUUCUGGAAAUUUUAGGUCACCGGAGUUCUUGAACUCGCCGGAGAAGAUGAAGUUUCCGGCGGACCUUCAAGGUCUCCGCCGUAGCUUCAUCCUCGCCGGCGGCGAGGUUAGUGAGAGGUGAGAGAAGAGAGAGGAACUUAGAGAGAGAAAGGGGAGUGAAAAGUGAAGAAAACCGGAACCUCUUCCCUUAUAUAAGCUAGUGAACCAGACCGGUUCAAGACCGGUCCAAUCCUGUUGAUUCCAGGCCGUUUGAUCUAGGGUUUCAGGAUCCUGGAUCAAUCCUGUGGCUCCUGUGAAUCCGGUUCUUUAGGGUUUUGGGUUGGGCCUUUGGUUUCUUUGGAUCUUUACGUUUUGCUAUUUCUGUGCUAUUCACACCCCUAUUUUUUGCUGCCUGCACCUAUGUCUUGAUUAAAAUUGUGAUAAAAUUCCUAGAAAAAUUCAUACAUGUUUCUUGAUAUUUUCUUAGUGUUUUUAUGACAUUUUUGCACAUUAAGGAUCUAUGAAAAUUUUGUAUAAUCAAUUCAUAGCAUUUUAAUUCUCUUUGAAUUAUUUGUUAUGGAUUCUUCUUCACACAUUUGUCCUUGAUGUGAGAAUAUGUAAUAAAAGCUACUUGAUGUGUUAAUAUGAGAGAUUUGUGCCUAUAAUUUCAUGUUGAUUUGCUGUUUUGAUUUGGUUUAUGAGUUCUUGUUUUUAUGAACAAUAUAUCCAUAUUUUGAAAGAUAUAAAAUGCCAAGUUUACUCUAGAAAAUAUGGCAUGAAAUCAUGCUUGCAUGUUUCCAAUAAUUCCAUGCUAUAACUUGAGAUAAAGAAAACUCUUUCAAAAUUUGUUAAAGCAUGAGAAUUAGAGGCCAAGAAUGCUUUAGGUUUCAUACCUAAGUUUUUAGGGUUUAAUGUCAUUUUGUUAACUUUUUGUGCCAUCUUGCAUGCUUUUAUUUCUUAGUACUUGUUAUGUUUUUUCUUUUCACUAACAAGUUUAUUUCCAUGUUUCAUGCAUCCCAUUUAGCAUUCCCUCCACUUUCUUUAGCCUAGCCUUUAUCUUUUGCAAGUUUUAAUUCAUUUGGUAAUGUAAUUUGUUAUCAUUGGUUUGUAGCUUGGCAAAGGGGCCAUAGAAUGUAUUUAGGCAAUUUUUGUAAUAUGGACUAUGGACACUAUGAUGCACCGACACGCACACACUCACCUUAGAUGUAUGCAUAGGAUUGUAUGGUUAAAUAAGCGUUUAGGUUUUAAACACUUAGAGAAAAUCCAUCUUUUUUUCAAAAAAAAAUAAUUGAACUUCACUUCAAAAACUUUCCUAAUAAGUAUGAAGUCAACACUUCAUUUUUUUCCUUUCUUUUUUUCUUAAGAAAAAUUCAAUUCAUCUUAAUCAUUUAGACUUUCUUUCUAAUCACUAAUCAAACCUCACUUUUUGCUAAAUCUAAUGCUCAUGAAGCCUCCCAAUCUCCUUCUUCAAAACCUUUUUUCUCAAAACUUAAAAUUAAACAAUUAGAACAAAAAACAAGUCUUUUUAGCAAGAACUACGCCGGUUUUGAUCCCGUAAAACGGUACGUAGGCAAUGAGUCAAAACUCAUCCAAGCCGAAAUAAAAUCCAAUUCUACUUCUUCUCACCCCCAUUCUUCACUAAUCAUACUUUCUUUUUUACAAAUAAGCAAUAAAACUAAAGCGUAGAAAUAAACUUAGGAAAGCGGUUCUUAUGGAGUACCAUAAUCGCUCCGGGUGCCUAACACCUUCCCGUAGCGAAAACGACCCCCGAACUUAGAAUCUAAGGGUUUUUCUCAAUUUUGCCCUUCCCAAGAAAAAAUAGAGAAUAUCAACGGUCAAAAGGUUCAAGUCCAAUUAAUGGCUUGGCACCCAAAAACCAUGAUAACAGAAAUGGCGACUUCACUGGGGAUUUUUUUAGCGGGUCACGCCUAGUUUUCCUUAGUUUAUUUACGCUUUGUUUUAUUGCUUACAUAUGUGAAUACUUGUUUACUUUCAUUUGACGUGUGGGGUGAGAAUAUCAAAAGUCCUAUACCCGGGCUGAGUGAACUUAUGUUUAGGUAGAGAUAUAAUCGAGAAUUCGAUCCGGGGGUUGCCUCGUGUAUUGGAUUAUGCGAUCAAUCUCACAUAGCUGAGGCAUUUUGAAGGUGAUAUUGUCGGCGUGUGUUGUCAUGCUUAGGCACUUCACUUUCAAUUGUUCGACGAAGCUAUGAACCGUAGUUACCAAACCCAUCCUAGCCUUUUUAGGACGUAGUGCGGUGGCUAAAUUGAGUGUUGUCUCAAACUUUAGUCGUCACGCGAUACUACACUCAAGCUAGACCUUCUCACAAAUAAUCAUGGAACGGGUGUCGUCCUGUACUACCAUGAUAUAUGUGAGAGAGGUUGCAGUUUGGGAACUGUGUUAGAACCAUGGUUACUACUAUCCAAAGCCUUAGUUCACCGGACGCCGUGUCCAUCCGUGGCCCCGUUACUUUGAAACUCAAUCCACUUUUAACAACACGAUCAUGCAUACAUGCAUUCAUGCAUAAACAUUUUUCAUGCAUUCAUCGAAGGGUUUAAACAAAUGGAAAUUUUUGUAAAUAAUCACAGGUAUGAAGAAGACUAAGUGCUACAAGUUCAAGGAAGUGGAUUUGGUUAGUUUGAGAGAGUUGGCACUCAAGGUCAAGAGUCAAACAGGGUUCCGACUCCGGUAUGGGGGAUUGCUUACUUUGCUCCGAACCGAUGUGGACGAGAAGCUAGUGCACACUCUAGUGCAAUUUUAUGAUCCAAGCUUCUGUUGCUUCACCUUCCCGGACUUCCAGUUGGUUCCUACUCUCGAGGCUUACUCCAAUCUAGUGGGUUUACCUAUGGCCGAGAAGACGCCUUUCACCGGUCCCGGGACUUCUCUUACUCCUCUGGUUAUUGCUAAGGAUCUCUACCUCAAGACUUCCGACGUCUCCAACCAUCUUAUUACCAAGUCUCACAUUCGGGGGUUCACUUCGAAGUAUCUUCUUGAUCAGGCUAAUCUCGGUACUACUCGUCAGGAUACACUCGAGGCUAUUCUUGCUUUGCUUAUCUACGGGCUCAUUCUCUUCCCGAACCUCGACAACUUCGUGGACAUGAAUGCUAUCGAGAUCUUUCAUUCCAAGAACCCGGUUCCUACUUUGCUAGCGGAUACCUACCACGCCAUUCAUGACAGGACUCUCAAGGGCCGUGGGUAUAUUCUUUGCUGCAUACCUCUUCUGUAUAGGUGGUUUAUUUCGCACCUUCCGAGUUCCUUCCAUGAUAACUCGGAGAACUGGUCCUACUCGCAGCGGAUUAUGGCCCUCACUCCUAAUGAGGUCGUCUGGCUCACUCCGGCCGCUCAGGUGAAGGAAAUUGUCAUGGGUUGUGGAGACUUUCUCAAUGUACCUCUUCUUGGUACUCGUGGAGGAAUUAACUACAACCCCGAGCUUGCUAUGAGGCAGUUUGGUUUUCCUAUGAAGUCGAAGCCCAUCAAUCUUGCUACAUCUCCAGAGUUCUUCUUCUAUGCGAAUGCUCCUACCGGACAAAGGAAAGCUUUCAUGGAUGCUUGGUCCAAGGUUCGAAGGAAGAGUGUGAAGCAUCUAGGUGUGAGAUCCGGUAUUGCUCAUGAGGCCUAUACUCAGUGGGUGAUAGAUCGAGCUGAGGAGAUCGGUAUGCCUUAUCCAGCUAUGAGAUAUGUGUCUUCGUCUACUCCAUCUAUGCCUCUACCUCUACUCCCCGCGACUCAGGAUAUGUAUCAGGAGCAUCUAGCUAUGGAGAGUCGUGAGAAGCAAGUGUGGAAAGCUCGGUACAAUCAAGCCGAGAAUCUAAUCAUGACUUUGGAUGGUAGAGAUGAGCAGAAGACUCAUGAGAAUCUAAUGUUGAAGAAAGAGCUAGCUAAGGCCCGGAGGGAAUUGGAAGAGAAAGAUGAGCUGCUUAUGAGGGACUCCAAGAGAGCCAGAGGACGACGAGACUUCUUUGCCAGAUACUGUGAUUCAGAUUCCGAGUCCGAUGAUCUUCCGACUACUUCCUAUGCUUGAGGGCUUCAUAUGUUUAUUUCAAAGUCUUUCUGUUGAGAAUACUAUGUAGUUUUGUUUAUUUGCAAGAUUUCUAAUUUGUUUAAAAAUCCUUCGAUGAGAGAAUAAGUCUUUUGCAUUUGCAUUUGCACAUCAUGCAUCAUAUGCAUCAUGCAUUGGUCACAAAGGCUUCCAAGUGCUUACCACCUCCUGGUUUCUCUGCCGCAGUGUGAAAAGUGGCUCGUGCUCAGAGAAUUUACGAACCUGAUAGAAUUGAUCGAACCAGAGAAUACAGAAGAAAGAAAAGGGCUAUGGAAGAAGAGAACACACAGCUUCGUACCGAAUUGGCAUCUCUAAGGGAGGAAUUGGCCAAAGCUCAUGAUGCUAUGACUGCUCUGUUGGCUGCUCAGGAACAACCAGUUCCUGUAGUUUCUACAGCUGCAAAUGUGACUCCUACCGUAACAACUGAUCCCCGCUCUAUCAUGCCAUCCGGGUACCCUUACGGACUUCCGCUGUACUAUACUACUAAUACAGGGGCAGGGACCUCUGGUACUACCAACAAUGGCCCAAUCCCAGGGGCAAACUUAACUCCUGUUAGUACCGCCUUGACUCAAGCUGCAACGACUGUUACCGAGCCCAUUGUGAAUGCGGUGCCUCUAUUUGUCCAUGCUAAUGCGCACCACGGGAGUAUUGCCACAACCGGAACUAUGGAAGAGAGAAUGGAAGAACUUGCCAAAGAGCUCCGACGGGAAAUUAAGGCCAACAGGGGAAACGGGGACUCCAUUAAAACCCAGGAUCUCUGCUUGGUAUCGAAGGUAGAUGUUCCAAAAAAGUUCAAAGUCCCGGAGUUCGACAAAUAUAACGGGCUGACUUGUCCUCAAAAUCAUAUUGUCAAAUACGUCCGGAAGAUGGGCAACUACAAGGACAAUGAUUCCCUUAUGAUCCAUUACUUCCAAGACAGUCUGAUGGAAGAUGCUGCAGAGUGGUAUACUAGUCUGAGCAAAGAUGAUGUCCAUACCUUUGAUGAGCUAGCCACCGCUUUCAGGAGCCACUACGGGUUUAACACUCGUUUGAAGCCGAAUAGGGAGUUCCUCAGGUCCCUAUCUCAGAAAAAGGAGGAGAGUUUCCGUGAAUAUGCGCAAAGGUGGAGAGGGGCAGCUGCCCGUAUCACUCCUGCUUUAGAUGAAGAAGAAAUGACCCAGACAUUCUUAAAGACCUUGAAGAAGGAUUAUGUUGAGAGGAUGAUCAUCGCCGCCCCGAACAACUUUUCAGAGAUGGUCACUAUGGGAACCCGUCUUGAGGAAGCAGUCAGGGAUGGAAUCAUUGUGUUUGAGAAAGCUGAAUCUUCUACGAGUGCAUCGAAGAGGUAUGGUAAUGGACACCACAAGAAGAAAGAAACGGAAGUGGGGAUGGUGUCAGCUGGAGCCGGUCAAUCUAUGGCUACUGUUGCACCUAUCAAUGCAGCUCAAAUGCCUCCGUCAUACCCAUAUAUGCCGUAUUCUCAGCAUCCGUUCUUCCCACCGUUUUAUCAUCAGUAUCCUUUGCCACCAGGCCAACCUCAGGUUCCUGUCAAUGCCAUCGCUCAACAGGUACAACAUCAACCGCCAGUUCAACAGCAGCAGCAGCAGUAUACUAGACCAACUUUUCCUCCUAUACCAAUGUUGUAUGCUGAGUUGCUUCCAACUUUACUCCAGAGAGGACAUUGCACAACUAGACAGGGCAAGCCACCACCUGAUCCGUUGCCUCCAAGGUUCAGGUCUGAUCCCAAAUGUGACUUUCAUCAAGGUGCCUUAGGUCAUGAUGUCGAGGGGUGUUAUGCUUUGAAGUAUAUUGUGAAGAAGCUCAUUGAUCAGGGAAAGCUGACUUUUGAGAACAAUGUUCCACAUGUCCUUGACAAUCCACUACCAAAUCAUGCCGCUGUGAAUAUGAUCGAAGUGUGUGAGGAAGCUCCUAGACUUGAUGUCCGCAAUGUUGCCACUCCCCUGGUGCCUCUGCAUAUCAAGCUAUGCAAAGCUUCUCUGUUCAGCCAUGAUCAUGCCAAGUGUCUAGGAUGCCUCCGUGAUCCUUUGGGUUGCCAUACUGUUCAAGACGACAUCCAAAGCCUGAUGGAUGAUAAUCUUCUGACUGUCAGUGAUGUUUGCGUGGUCGUGCCAGUUUUUCACGAUCCGCCUGUCAAGAGUGUACCUUUGAAGAAGAAUGCUGAGCCUUUGGUGAUAAGGUUGCCAGGACCAAUUCCUUAUGUUUCGGACAAGGCAGUGCCAUACAAGUACAAUGCUACUAUGAUAGAAAAUGGAGUAGAGGUGCCUCUAGCCUCCUUUGCCACAGUAAGCAAUAUUGCCGAAGGGACUUCUGCAGCGCUAAGAAGCGGGAAGGUUCGUCCGCCAUUAUUUCAGAAGAAGGUAGCUACGCCAAUCACUCCACCAGUUGAAGAAGCAACUCCAACCGUUGUUUCACCCAUUGCUACAGAUGUGAAUCAGCCAGGCAAGUCUAUAGAGGAUUCGAAUUUAGAUGAGAUUCUGAGAAUAAUAAAGAGGAGCGACUACAAGAUCGUUGAUCAAUUGCUGCAAACUCCUUCGAAGAUAUCCGUCUUGUCACUACUCUUGAGCUCUGAGGCUCAUAGGAAUACCUUGUUGAAAGUGCUGGAGCAGGCUUAUGUUGACCACGAAGUCUCGGUAGAUCGUUUCGGUGGCAUAGUGGGAAAUAUCACUGCUUGUAACAACCUCUGGUUCAGUGAAGAAGAGUGGCCAGAAGUGGGAAAGGGUCACAAUCUGGCUUUGCACAUCUCGGUGAACUGUAAAUCAGACAUGAUAUCAAAUGUGUUGGUGGAUACCGGUUCCUCUCUCAAUGUAAUGCCCAAGACAACUCUAGAUCAGUUGAGCUACCGCGGGACCCCGUUGAGGAGAAGUACUUUCUUGGUCAAAGCUUUUGACGGAUCUCGAAAGAAUGUGCUGGGAGAGAUAGACUUGCCGAUAACUAUUGGCCCUGAGAAUUUCUUGGUUACCUUCCAAGUGAUGGACAUUAAUGCAUCCUACAGUUGCCUGCUGGGAAGACCGUGGAUACACGAUGCAGGUGCGGUUACUUCCACUUUACAUCAGAAGUUGAAAUUUGUGAAGAAUGGAAAACUCGUUACAAUCCAUGGUGAAGAAGCAUACUUAGUCAGCCAGUUGUCUUCUUUUUCUUGUGUUGAAGCAGGGUCUGCUGAAGGGACUGCUUUCCAAGGUUUGACCAUUGAAGGCGCAGAGCCUAAGGAAGCUGGGGCUGCUAUGGCUUCAUUGAAAGAUGCUCAGAGAGCCAUCCAAGAAGGUCAGACUGCCGGCUGGGGCAAGGUGAUACAGCUCUGUGAGAACAAGCGUAAAGAAGGUCUCGGGUUCUCCCCGUCAUCAAGGGUUUCCUCGGGAGUCUUCCACAGUGCAGGGUUUGUUAAUGCUAUCUCUGAAGAAGCCACUGGAUCUGGUCUCAGGCCUGUAUUUGUUACACCAGGAGGCAUUGCGACAAAUUGGGAUGCCGUUGACAUUCCUUCAAUCAUGCAUGUUUCUGAGUAAUGUGUCUUGUUGCUUUAGUACUUUGUUUUCAAAAUAACAAUCCUCUCGCUCUGCCCAAAGCGAGAGUGAUAUUUUCUGUAAGGGCAUGUUUGUUUCGGCAUUGCCGUUGAUUAAUAAAAUUUUGUCGUUUCUUCCACGACUACUUUUUUUAAGUGCUUUUUCCCUUGGAAGCAAUGGUAAUGCCAGAAAAAACCAAAACGUCUGUAUUUUCUUAUUAAUUUCAAAAAUCUGCAUGAAAAAAAACUCUUUCUAAAAAUCAUCCAAUCAUUAUAUGCAGGUUGAACCAUAAUAAAUCCGUUGAACACAGUAAUCCUACGGUUCCUCCAAGUUUUGAUUUCCCUGUAUAUGAAGCCGAAGAUGAGGAAGGUGAUGACAUACCGUAUGAGAUCACUCGGUUACUUGAGCAAGAAAAGAAAGCCAUUCAGUCUCACCAAGAAGAGAUUGAGCUUAUCAACAUAGGUACCGAGGAAAACAAGCGAGAAAUCAAGAUUGGUGCUACCCUAGAGGAAGGGGUUAAACAGAAGAUCAUCCAACUCCUCCGGGAAUAUCCGGAUAUUUUUGCAUGGUCCUAUGAAGAUAUGCCAGGUCUAGACCCUAUGAUCGUGGAGCAUCGGAUCCCUACCAAGCCUGAAUGUCCUCCCGUCAGGCAGAAAUUGAGAAGGACUCAUCCUGACAUGGCCCUCAAGAUUAAGAGUGAAGUUCAAAAGCAGAUUGAUGCGGGUUUCCUCAUGACAGUGGAGGUAUCCCGAAUGGGUUGCCAAUAUUGUGCCUGUGCCAAAGAAGGAUGGUAAAGUCCGGAUGUGUGUUGACUUUAGGGACUUGAACAAAGCCAGUCCAAAAGACAACUUUCCGUUACCUCAUAUUGAUGUGCUUGUUGAUAAUACUGCUCAAUCUAAGGUGUUCUCCUUCAUGGACGGUUUUUCCGGUUAUAAUCAGAUCAAAAUGUCUCCUGAAGAUAGAGAAAAGACAUCUUUUAUCACGCCAUGGGGUACUUUCUGCUACAAAGUGAUGCCGUUCGGCCUAAUCAAUGCUGGUGCUACCUACCAAAGGGGAAUGACCACUCUGUUUCAUGACAUGAUUCACAAAGAAGUUGAGGUAUAUGUGGAUGACAUGAUUGUGAAGUCAGCAGAUGAGGAGCAGCAUGUUGAAUAUUUAACAAAGAUGUUUGAAAGGUUGAGAAAAUACAAGCUGCGACUGAAUCCCAACAAAUGUACAUUCGGUGUCAGGUCUGGAAAGUUAUUAGGCUUCAUUGUCAGCCAAAAGGGCAUUGAAGUCGAUCCUGAUAAAGUCCGGGCCAUCCGAGAAAUGCCAGCUCCACAGACAGAGAAGCAAGUCAGAGGUUUCUUGGGACGUUUGAAUUACAUCUCCCGAUUCAUAUCUCAUAUGACUGCAACCUGCGGGCCGAUCUUCAAACUACUUAGAAAGAACCAGCCUGUUGUAUGGGAUGAUGAAUGCCAAGAAGCUUUUGAUAGCAUCAAGAAUUACCUGCUGGAACCACCUAUCCUUGUCCCACCCGUGGAAGGAAGGCCUUUGAUUAUGUAUUUGGCAGUAUUUGAUGAAUCCAUGGGAUGUGUACUUGGUCAACAAGAUGAAACCGGAAAGAAAGAGCAUGCUAUCUACUAUCUAAGCAAGAAGUUCACCGAUUGUGAAACUCGGUAUACAAUGCUUGAAAAGACUUGUUGUGCUCUAGCUUGGGCUGCCAAACGCCUGCGCCAUUAUUUGGUGAAUCAUACAACUUGGUUGAUAUCCAGAAUGGAUCCGAUAAAGUAUAUCUUUGAGAAAGCGGCCGUUACUGGGAAGAUCGCACGCUGGCAGAUGCUUUUGUCUGAAUAUGAUAUUGUGUUCAAAACUCAAAAGGCAAUCAAAGGCAGCAUUCUUGCCGAUCACCUUGCUUAUCAACCUCUUGAUGAUUACCAACCAAUUGAAUUCGAUUUCCCUGAUGAAGAGAUCAUGUAUUUGAAAUCCAAAGACUGCGACGAACCGUUGAUUAAUGAAGGUCCAGAUCCCAAUAGCAAGUGGGGUUUAGUCUUUGAUGGUGCUGUCAAUGCUUAUGGCAAAGGAAUUGGGGCAGUCAUUGUAUCCCCGCAAGGGCAUCACAUUCCUUUUACCGCCCGUAUUCUGUUCGAAUGUACAAACAAUAUGGCUGAGUAUGAAGCAUGUAUCUUCGGGAUCGAGGGAGCAAUUGACAUGAGAAUCAAACACCUCGACAUCUAUGGAGAUUCUGCGCUCGUCAUCAAUCAGAUAAAGGGUGAAUGGGAGACCCACCAUGCUAAGUUGAUUCCUUAUCGUGAUUAUGCGAGACGUCUUCUGACAUAUUUUACAAAGGUUGAGCUGCAUCAUAUUCCUCGUGAUGAGAACCAAAUGGCUGAUGCUCUUGCUACUCUAUCUUCCAUGUUUCGAGUAAACCAUUGGAAUGAUGUGCCAUUAAUUAAAGUGCAACGCCUUGAAAGACCUUCGCAUGUGUUUGCUAUUGGGGAUGUGAUCGAUCAGGCUGGUGAAAAUAUGGUUGACUAUAGACCCUGGUACUACGACAUCAAACAGUUCUUGCUGAGCCGUGAGUAUCCGCCGGGUGCUUCCAAACAAGACAAGAAGACCUUGAGAAGAUUGGCCGGUAGAUUCUUGUUAGAUGGAGAUAUUCUGUACAAGAGGAACUAUGACAUGGUAUUGUUAAGAUGUGUUGAUGAACAUGAAGCAGAGCAGUUAAUGCAUGAUGUACAUGACGGUACCUUCGGGACCCAUGCUACAGGGCAUACUAUGUCAAGAAAGUUGCUACGGGCAGGUUACUACUGGAUGGCCAUGGAGCAUGAUUGCUACCAAUACGCCAGAAAAUGCCACAAAUGUCAAAUCUAUGCUGAUAAGAUUCAUGUGCCUCCGCACGCUCUCAAUGUUAUGUCAUCCCCAUGGCCGUUCUCAAUGUGGGGCAUCGAUAUGAUUGGAAGAAUUGAACCGAAAGCUUCAAAUGGUCAUCGUUUCAUCUUAGUGGCAAUUGACUACUUUACCAAAUGGGUUGAAGCAGCAUCUUAUACCAAUGUGACCAAGCAAGUGGUAGCUAAGUUCAUCAAGAACAACAUCAUCUGUCGAUAUGGUGUUCCCAGCAAGAUUAUUACCGACAAUGGUACCAACCUGAACAACAAUGUGGUGCAAGCUCUUUGUGAAGAAUUCAAAAUUGAGCAUCAUAACUCUUCUCCUUAUAGACCUCAGAUGAAUGGUGCAGUUGAGGCCGCCAAUAAGAAUAUCAAGAGAAUUGUCCAGAAGAUGGUAACCACUUACAAGGACUGGCAUGAGAUGUUACCCUAUGCUCUGCAUGGCUACCGUACUACCAUGCGCAGUUCAACCGGGGCAACCCCUUUCUCUCUUGUAUAUGGUAUGGAAGCAGUUCUUCCUUUGGAAGUGGAGAUCCCAUCUCUCCGUGUGAUCAUGGAAGCAAAGUUAUCCGAAGCUGAAUGGUGCCAAAGCCGGUAUGAUCAGUUGAAUUUGAUUGAGGAAAAACGUAUGGAUGCCAUGGCUCGUGGACAGUCAUAUCAAGCAAGAAUGAAGACUGCCUUUGACAAGAAAGUCCAUCCUCGAGAAUUCAAGGUAGGGGAACUUGUAUUGAAAAGGAGGAUAAGCCAGCAACCCGACCCGAGGGGCAAGUGGACGCCUAACUAUGAAGGUCCUUAUGUCGUCAAGAAGGCCUUCUCCGGUGGUGCUUUAAUCCUUACACACAUGGAUGGUGUAGAGCUUCCAAAUCCAGUGAAUGCCGAUAUAGUCAAGAAAUACUUUGCCUAAAAAUAUGAAAAGAACAGCGUGGUAGGUCGAAAACCCGAAAGGGCGGCCUAGGCAAAAAUGCGCUUCCCGGUGGAUCGAAAACCCGAAAGGGCGGUCCAGGCAAAAAUAAGGGACAAAAAAAACAACAAAUAUGAAAAGCUCGCUGAGAUUGUACACAACUCAGGCAAGAAUGAGCGUCUCGAUGAGCCGAAAACCCGGAAGGUCGGUUCAUGCAAAAAUGAGAUUGAAACAAAAGGCAAGUAACUAUAUCUGGCCAACCACCGUCCCCCUUGGGGCAUCUGCAGCUGUUAAUGCCUAUCUUCAUCAAAAGCUUCUGUACUUGUGAAUUCGAAGUUUCUGGGAAAUGUCAUGAUUACUGUGUUCAAUGUACCACCAACCAAUAAAAUUACCAUUUUCCAAGCUUUGUGAAUCCGUGGAGUCGUGCCUUCGGCUGAUCACCACUCUUAUACAUCAAUUUGAGCUUGUGCUUUUGUUUGAAACUCUAUUUUUCUUCUACUUUCAAAGCUGUAUACAAAACAUUCUCUUUCCAUUUUGAUAAUGACAAUGCUUGAAACAAACAUUUUUGAAAAUUGAAAACUUUUUGUCUAUUUUGAAAAGCAAACCCGAGCAACAGGGUACAUUCAAAUGAACAUGCAUGAGCGAGUGUGUGUGGGUGUCUAUCUUCAAUAUAUGUUACAAGCAGGUUCUCCUCCAAGAUAAUCUGUGGUCAAUGGCAAGAAUGAAAAAACAGAAUGAAAAUGCAUGAAAAUGAAUGAGCUCGCUAAGUUGAAAACCCGAAAGGGCGACUUAGGCAAAAAUGAGCACCCCGCUGGAUUGACAACCCGAAAGGGCAGUUCAGGCAAAAAUGGGGCAUUGAAAAGAAUUUAUUUCCCCGGUGGGUCGAAAACCCGAAAGGGCGAUCCAGGCAAAAAUGGGAUGCAAAAAAUGAAUGAUGAAGAUUGAGAAUAUAACAUGCAAAAAGCAUUGACCACAGAUGCGAUGUCCACAACAUGCCCAGCACAACGGCAUUAUCCCCAGUAAAGUCUCUCAAGAUUCUAUCCCCAGCAAGUUGCAUAGCUACCAGCCCUCAGCCUAGGUCCCGAAACGUCUCCCAACGACGUCAUCUCCAAAGAGGAUUUCCAAGAAUGUGUAAUAUAGCUCGAGCCACUACGUGCCCAAUACUCUGAUGUCUUGUCUUCCCCGUGAAGUCGUGCCUACAAAAUGCCAACAGUCAUGCAUUACAAGCAUUCAUACAUGCAUAAUCAUGCAUAUUACGUACCCAUGCAUUUAAUGAAAUUGUUAUAUCAUCCAUGCAUAUUGCAUUUCCAAUGUCAACAUCAGUCUCAAUUCAACACUCAUGUCAGGUUCUCUGUCAAAACCUUGUGAGCCAAUAAUAUCGGUCAAUUUCUACCUUUCAAUUCAAAUCGACGUCAAGUCAAUCUCAAUCUAUAUUUUGUCAACAAACCAAUCCCCAGUGAAUAUGUUUUUGUUCGGUCAAGUUACUAGUUCGCAUCCAAGAACGACUUGCACCCGUUUACUUUUCAAUGUUAUCGGUCGAGUGCCCAGCUCAAUCCAAGAGCAGCUUGUACCUGUCUAUUUGUUUCUGUCCGGUGGAGUAACCAGUUCGCAUCCAAGAACAAGCUCACACCUGUUUAUUUGCCUUGCUUUCGGUCGAGUAACCAGUUCGAAUCCUUAAGAACAACUCGUACCUGCCAAUUUUACAUGUUUUCAGUCGAGUCACCAGUUCGAAUCCGUAAGAACAACUCGUACUUGCCAAUUUUCUCUUUUUCCCAGUCGGGUCACCAGUUCGAAUCCAUAAGAACAACUCGCACUUUCCAGUAUCCCCAAGUGAGUUAUCAGUUCGAAUCCAUAAGAACAACUCAUAUUUGUCCAGUAACCUCUAUCCCCUGUGGAGUGACCAGUUCGAAUCCAUAAGAACAACUCGCAGUUGUCUGUUUGUUUCAUUCCCGGUCAGGUGCCCAGCUCGAUCCAAGAGCAGCUUGUACCUGUCCAACUUGUUUCUAGUUUCCCGUUACUCUGCUAUUCACUAUCUUUGUCAAUGUCUACCAAUCCCGCAAUGGAUACGACAUAUUUUGUUAAUUCCAAUCCCCAUGAGGUCUUGCAUUCAUAAUCCAAACGAUGCAUGGCAUGCAUAUUAUUUGAAAAUGGGUAGGCGUAUUUUUACGUCCAAACACAGUGCAAAUGCUAAUAUUUAAGUAUCUUCGUCCUGUCAAGCCAAAGACUCCGUCUCUUGACUCUCCAGACAAAGAAACUUAAAUAGGGGCAGCUGUUAUACCCUGUUUUUGGACCUAAAAAUACUGGGCCCAAUUUCAUUUCAAACUUUGUCAAUUAUCAAAUUUCAACUGCACAGUUCAAAUUGUCUCUGCCUCGCAGUAUUUUUCAAUCACAAUUUUACCUAUGUUUUUCUUGCAUAAAACCUUUCGAAAUGUCUUUACUUGUCUUGUAAGUCAUUCAAAAGUGUCUCUGAAUCAUUACAUUGCUUUUUCCACAGUUUAUUUCAAAAUUUGCAAAGAAGUCAUACAGAAGGGUAUUUUGGUCAUUUCCCGCAGUGGGACCCAUUUUCAUCCUUGUGACUGUCUCUGAGUCUUUUCAAAUUCAUUUUUAACUUUCCAUCAGUAAACCUUGCUAAUUUCGUUUCAAACUUGCAUCUGAGUCAGUGUCGAGUUAAUUUGAUUCUGUUUAGGUCAUUUUUAGCCCUAGGGGCAUUUUGGUCAUUUCACAUAAAAUUUUGGCAUGGGGAGGUUACUUUGAAGUACCUCAUUUAGGCCAUUGGUUCGUUUUAGUCCGUUUUGUCAAUUUUAUUUUUUUGUUUCGCUUUACGUUUUGUCAGGUUACCAAUUUUAUUUCAAUUUUAUUUUAUUUUGCAUUUUGGUCCUCAAAGAGGUCCAAAAUUGCAUUUCAGUCCAGAAUUCUUUCUAUUUGCAUUUUUAGUCCUUUUUGUUAUUUCCAUUUUAGUCCUUUAAUUUUUCAAUUUUGCAGAAAAGGGCUCAAAGUGUCAAGCUCACGUUUUUUUUCAGUUAAAGUCCAGAUGUCACAAUUCUAUUGGUCCAAGAUCACACAUGUCAGCUAUAAAAGGUGUACAGUGCCACACAGACCCAUUAAUCACACGCCAACUCAUAAACACAAAAUCAAUUUUCUCUUUCUCAGCAAUUAGAUCAAAAACAGAAAAUCUCUCAGAAUUUCUCAAGAACACCAGGAACAAAAACCCUAACCGUUUUCCAGAAACCCUAAUUUUCAUCAGAAUCAACAUUUUUUGCAUCAAUCCUCAGAGAUUCGUGUGAAUCUUCAUCACCGGACUGAAGAUUUUCCUGCAAUUCCAAGUGCGAGCUCGCAUUGAAGCAAGCUCAAGCACUGAUCACAGGAUCUCCUCGCGUGGAUCUAAGAAACAUUGAAGCAAGCUCAAGCACGUAAUCACAGAGAAGCAGAGAAAGAGUCAGAGAAGAUGAAGAAUCUGGACCGGUGAAGCAAACAGAAUCAAAAAUCAUCAAGAACAGAAUCAAGAUUUCCAAAGAUUUCCUCCAUUAAAGGUUUCAACCAAAACCUUAGGUAAAACUCAUAAUCUUUUCUCAGAAAAUAAUAUCACUGUUAAACCUAAAAAUCACGCAAGCAAAACAGAUCCAAAAUUUCCAGAAUUCAAAGCCAAAACCGUAACCGUGAACACAAAACCUAGAUCCAUAAGGAUCUAAGUUUUGAAAGCAAAAACAAACAUCAAAGAGGUGUUAAACAACGAAAUGAUGUAGAUCUUCAAGGAUCUAAACGUUUUCUUUCAAAAAAUCAAAAUCAAAUUCAAAGCCGUACGACAAAUUUCCAGAUCUACAUCGUUUCGAAUUGAAUUUGAAAAAACAAUUGCUGGAUUCGUGUUUAGGGUUAAAGGACGAAUUGAUUGAUGAAGAAAUUUUGAAAUUCUGGAAAUUUUAGGUCACCGGAGUUCUUGAACUCGCCGGAGAAGAUGAAGUUUCCGGCGGACCUUCAAGGUCUCCGCCGUAGCUUCAUCCUCGCCGGCGGCGAGGUUAGUGAGAGGUGAGAGAAGAGAGAGGAACUUAGAGAGAGAAAGGGGAGUGAAAAGUGAAGAAAACCGGAACCUCUUCCCUUAUAUAAGCUAGUGAACCAGACCGGUUCAAGACCGGUCCAAUCCUGUUGAUUCCAGGCCGUUUGAUCUAGGGUUUCAGGAUCCUGGAUCAAUCCUGUGGCUCCUGUGAAUCCGGUUCUUUAGGGUUUUGGGUUGGGCCUUUGGUUUCUUUGGAUCUUUACGUUUUGCUAUUUCUGUGCUAUUCACACCCCUAUUUUUUGCUGCCUGCACCUAUGUCUUGAUUAAAAUUGUGAUAAAAUUCCUAGAAAAAUUCAUACAUGUUUCUUGAUAUUUUCUUAGUGUUUUUAUGACAUUUUUGCACAUUAAGGAUCUAUGAAAAUUUUGUAUAAUCAAUUCAUAGCAUUUUAAUUCUCUUUGAAUUAUUUGUUAUGGAUUCUUCUUCACACAUUUGUCCUUGAUGUGAGAAUAUGUAAUAAAAGCUACUUGAUGUGUUAAUAUGAGAGAUUUGUGCCUAUAAUUUCAUGUUGAUUUGCUGUUUUGAUUUGGUUUAUGAGUUCUUGUUUUUAUGAACAAUAUAUCCAUAUUUUGAAAGAUAUAAAAUGCCAAGUUUACUCUAGAAAAUAUGGCAUGAAAUCAUGCUUGCAUGUUUCCAAUAAUUCCAUGCUAUAACUUGAGAUAAAGAAAACUCUUUCAAAAUUUGUUAAAGCAUGAGAAUUAGAGGCCAAGAAUGCUUUAGGUUUCAUACCUAAGUUUUUAGGGUUUAAUGUCAUUUUGUUAACUUUUUGUGCCAUCUUGCAUGCUUUUAUUUCUUAGUACUUGUUAUGUUUUUUCUUUUCACUAACAAGUUUAUUUCCAUGUUUCAUGCAUCCUGUUAUCAUGGUUUUUGGGUGCCAAGCCAUUAAUUGGACUUGUACCUUUCGACCGUUGAUAUCUCUAUUUUUUCUUGGGAAGGGCAAAAUUGAGAAAAAACCCUUAGAUUCUAAGUUCGGGGGUCGGUUUUACUACGGGAAGGUGUUAGGCACCCGGAGUAACUAUAGUCCUCUAUAGGAGCCGUUUUCCUAAGUCUAUAUUCACGCUUAUUUUUACUUACUUUUGAAGAUGGGAGGUUUAUUUAGUUAAGAAUGAGGGGAGAGAAGUUGUAAGACUUUUUAAUUUUAUUUCGGCUUGGAUGAGUUUUGACUCAUUGCCUACGUACCGUUUUACGGGAUCAAAACCGGCGUAGUUCUUGCUAAAAAAAAGACUUGUUUUUCUUUUGUUUUAAUUGUUUGAUUUUAAGUUUUAAAAAAAGGUUUUGAAGAAGGAGAUUGGGAGGCUUCAUGAGCAUUAGAUUUAGCAAAAAAGGUGAGGUUUGAUUAGUGAUUUAGAAAGAAAGUCUAAAUGAUUAAGAUGAAUUGAAUUUUUCUUAAGAAAAAAGAGAAAGGAAAAAAAAAAUGAAGUGUUGACUUCAUACUUAUUAUGAAAAUUUUUGAAGUGAAGUUCAAUUGCUUUUUUUGAAAAAAAGAUGGAUUUUCCCUAAGUGUUCAAACCUAAGCGCUUAUCUAACCAUACAAUCCUAUGCAUACAUCUAAGGUGAGUGUGUGCGUGUCGGUGCGUCAUAGUGUCCAUAGUCCAUAUUACAAAAAUUGCCUAAAUACAUUCUAUGGCCCCUUUGCCAAGCUACAAACCAAUGAUAACAAAUUACAUUACCAAAUGAAUUAAAACUUGCAAAAAAAACAAAUGCUAGGCUAAAAAGUGGAGGGAAUGCUGAGUUUUUAUGGAGAUUCUGUUAGGUUUCUUCGGAAACACUUGGAUUUGGCUUUUGCUUGUUGAUUUCUGGCUUUGAACCGAAAAUAAAUCGGUGAUUCUUCUUUUCUCACUGAUUCCGUUUCUUCAUCUUCUUCGCCGGCUUAAAACCUUGCUUCUUUCCCUUUUCUUCUCCUUUUUCAACGCCUCUGUGAUCGGUGUUGGAGUUCUUCGCCACUGGGGAAGAAUUCUCACCUUGAAUUGCAGAGGGAUCAACUCAGUGAUGAAGAUUCGCCAUUGAAUCUCUGAGAGUUUGAUGCAAAAAUCAAUGAAUUUGUGUAUGAAUUUUGGUUCUGGAAAUUUCUAGGGUUCUUGUGUUCUUGAUGAACUUGAUGAUUUUUCUGUUUCUGAUCUAACUGAAUGGAGAGAGAAAGUCUCAUUGUGUUUGUUGAGUUGGCGUGUGAUUAAUGGCUUUGAAUCUGACUCACUGUUUAUAUAGUUGACAUGUGUACACUUGAGCCAAUGAAAUUGUGACACGUACCCUGGACUUGCUCACUUGGGCGCUGCUUGCUAUUUUAAGGACCAAUCUGCAAAUUGUGAAAAUGACAAGGACUGGACUGCAAAAUUAAAAAAAACUUGAAAUGAAAUAAAUAAUAAAAAAACAGUUUGGACAAAAAUGCAAUUUUGGGACCUCAAUUGAGGGACCAAAAUGCAAUACAAAAUAAAAUUUGAAUAAAAAACGUAAUUUGACCAAACGUAAAGUGAAACAAAAAUAAAAUUGACAAAACGGACUAAAACGAACCAAUGGCCUAAAUGAGGUACUUCAAAGUAACCUCCCCAUGCCAAAAUUUCAUGUGAAAUGACCAAAAUGCCCCUAGGGCUAAAAAUGACCUAAACUGACUCAAACAGACUUGACACUGACUCAGAUGCAAGUUUGAAAUGAAUUUAAACAGGGUUUACUGACGAAAUGUCAAAAAAUGAAUUUGAAAAGACUCGGAGAUAGUCACAAGGAUGAAGAUGGGUCCCACUGCAGGAAAUGACCAAAAUACCCUUCUGUAUGACCUUUUGCAAAUUUUGAAAUAAACUGUAGAAAAAGCAAUGUAAUGAUUCAGAGGCACUUUUGAAUGACUUACAAGACAAGUAAAGACAUUUUGAAAGGUUUUAUGCAAGAAAAACAUAGGUAAAAUUGUGAUUGAAAAUACUGCGAAGCAGAGACAAUUUGAACUGUGCAGUUGAAAUUUGAUAAUUGACAAAGUUUGAAAUGAAAUUGGGCCCAGUAUUUUUAGGUCCAAAAACAGGGUAUAACAGCUGCCCCUAUUUAAGUUUCUUUGUCUGGAGAGUCAAGAGACGGAGUCUUUGGCUUGACAGGACGAAGAUACUUAAAUAUUAGCAUUUGCACUGUGUUUGGACGUAAAAAUACGCCUACCUAUUUUCAAAUAAUAUGCAUGCCAUGCGUCAUUUGGACUAUGAAUGCAAGACCUCAGGGGGAUUGGAAUUAACAAAAUAUGUCGUAUCCAUUGCGGGAUUGGUAGACAUUGACAAAGAUAGUGAAUAGCAGAGUAACGGGAAACUAGAAACAAGUUGGACAGGUACAAGCUGUUCUUGGAUUCAAACUAGCCACUUGACCGGGGAUGAAACAAACAGACAACUGCGAGUUGUUCUUAUGGAUUCGAACUGGUCACUUCACAGGGGAUAGAGGUUACUGGACAAACAUGAGUUGUUCUUAUGAAUUCGAACUGAUAACUCACUUGGGGAUGUUGGAAAGUGCGAGUUGUUCUUAUGGAUUCGAACUGGUGACCCGACUGGGGAAAUUGACAAGUACGAGUUGUUCUUAUGGAUUCGAACUGGUCACUCGACCGAAAGCAAAGGCAAAUAAACAGGUGUGAGCUUGUUCUUGGAUGCGAACUGGUUACUCCACCGGACAGAAAUAGAUAGACAGGUACAAGCUGCUCUUGGAUUGAGCUAGCCACUUGACCAAACGGAAACAUAUUGACAGGUACGAGCUGCUCUUGGAUUGAGCUGGACACUCGACCGAUAACAUAAGCAAAUUGAUAGGUACAAGCUGUUCUUGGACUUGAACUAGCCACUUGACCAAACAGAAACAUAUUCACUGGGGAUUGAGUUUUGUUUGACGAAAUAUAGAUUGAGAUUGACUUGGCGUCGAUUUGGUUUGAAAGGUAGAAAUUGAUUGAUAUUAUUGGAUCACAAGGCUUUGACAGAGAACCUGACAUGAGUAUUGAAUUGAGACUGAUGUUGACAUUGGAAAUGCAAUAUGCAUGGAUGAUAUAACAGUUCCAUUAAAUGCAUGGGCACGUAAUAUGCAUGAUUAUGCAUGUAUGAAUGCUUGUAAUGCAUGACUGUUGGCAUUUUGUAGGCACGACUUCACGGGGAAGACAAGACAUCAGAGUAUUGGGCACGUAGUGGCUCGUGCUAUAUUACACAUUCUUGGAAAUCCUCUUUGGAGAUGACGUCGUUGGGAGACGUAUCGGAACCAUGGCUGAGGGCAGGUAGCUAUGCAACUUGCUGGGGAUAGAAUCUCGAGAGACUUUACUGGGGAUAAUGCCGUUGUGCUGGGCAUGUUGUGGACAUCGCAUCUGUGGUCAAUGCUUUUUGCAUGCUAUUUUCUCAUUCUCAUUUUUCGCAUCCCAUUUUUGCCUGGAUCGCCCUUUCGGGUUUUCGAUCCACCGGGGAAAUAGAUUCUUUUCAAUGCCCCAUUUUUGCCUGAACUGCCCUUUCGGGUUGUCAAUCCAGCGGGGUGCUCAUUUUUGCCUAAGCCGCCCUUCCGGGUUUUCAACUUAGCGAGCCUUUUCAUUUUCAUGCAUUUUCAUUCUGUUUUUUCAUUCUUGCCAUUGACCACAGAUUAUCUUGGAGGAGAACCUGCUUGUAACAUAUAUUGAAAUAGACAUUAACAUACUCUCGCUCAUGCAUGUUUCAUUUGAACGUACCCUGUUGCUCAGGUUUGCUUUUCAAAACAGACAAAAAGUUUUCAAUUUUCAAAAUGUUUGUUUCAAGCAUUGUCAUUAUCAAAAUAGAAAGAAAAUGUUUUGUAUAUAGCUUUGAAAGUAAAAAGAAAAAUAGAGUUUCAAACAACAGCACAAGCUCAAUUUGAUGUAUAAGAGUGGUGGUCAGCCGAAGGCAUGACUCCACGGAUUCACAAAGCUUGGAAAAUGGUAAUUUUUAUUGGUUGGUGGUACAUUGAACACGGUAACCACUACAGUUCUUAGAAACUUUGAAUUCACAAGUACAGAAGCUUUUGAUGAAGAUAGGCAUUAACAGCUGCAGAUGCCCCAAGGGGGACGGUGGUUGGCCAGAUAUAGUUACUUGCCUUUUGUUUCAAUCUCAUUUUUGCAUGAACCGCCCUUCCGGGUUUUCGGCUCAUCGAGACGCUCAUUCUUGCCUGAGUUGCGUACAAUCUCAGCGAGCUUUUCAUAUUUGUUUUUUUUUUUUUUUUUUUUUGUCCCUUAUUUUUGCCUGGACCGCCCUUUCGGGUUUUCGAUCCAUCGGGAAGCGCAUUUUUGCCUAGGCCGCCCUUUCGGGUUUUCGACCUACCACGCUGUUCUUUUCACAUUUCUAGGCAAAGUAUUUCUUGACUAUAUCGGCAUUCACUGGAUUUGGAAGCUCUACACCAUCCAUGUGUGUAAGGAUUAAAGCACCACCGGAGAAGGCCUUCUUGACAACAUAAGGACCUUCAUAGUUAGGCGUCCACUUGCCCCUUGGGUCGGGUUGCUGGCUUAUCCUCCUUUUCAAUACAAGUUCCCCUACCUUGAAUUCUCGAGGAUGGACUUUCUUGUCAAAAGCAGUCUUCAUUCUUGCUUGAUAUGACUGUCCACGAGCCAUGGCAUCCAUACGUUUUCCCUCAAUCAAAUUCAACUGAUCAUACCGGCUUUGGCACCAUUCAGCCUCAGAUAACUUUGCUUCCAUUAUCACACGGAGAGAUGGGAUCUCCACUUCCAAAGGAAGAACUGCUUCCAUACCAUAUACAAGAGAGAAAGGGGUUGCCCCGGUUGAACUGCGCACGGUAGUGCGGUAGCCAUGCAGAGCAUAGGGUAACAUCUCAUGCCAGUCCUUGUAAGUGGUUACCAUCUUCUGGACAAUUCUCUUGAUAUUCUUAUUGGCGGCCUCAACUGCACCAUUCAUCUGAGGUCUAUAGGGAGAAGAGUUAUGAUGCUCAAUUUUGAAUUCUUCACAAAGAACUUGCACCACAUUAUUGUUCAGGUUGGUACCAUUGUCGGUAAUAAUCUUGCUGGGAACACCAUAUCGACAGAUGAUGUUGUUCUUGAUGAACUUAGCUACCACUUGCUUGGUCACAUUGGUAUAAGAUGCUGCUUCAACCCAUUUGGUAAAGUAGUCAAUUGCCACUAAGAUGAAACGAUGACCAUUUGAAGCCUUCGGUUCAAUUCUUCCAAUCAUGUCGAUGCCCCACAUCGAGAACGGCCAUGGGGAUGACAUAACAUUGAGAGCGUGCGGAGGCACAUGAAUCUUAUCAGCAUAGAUUUGACAUUUGUGGCAUUUUCUGGCGUACUGGUAGCAAUCAUGCUCCAUAGUCAUCCAGUAGUAACCUGCCCGUAGCAACUUUCUUGACAUAGUAUGCCCUGUAGCAUGGGUCCCGAAGGUACCGUCAUGUACAUCAUGCAUUAACUGCUCUGCCUCAUGUUCAUCAACACAUCUUAACAAUACCAUGUCAUAGUUUCUCUUGUACAGAAUAUCUCCAUCUAACAGGAAUCUACUGGCCAAUCUUCUCAAGGUCUUCUUGUCUUGUUUGGAAGCACCCGGCGGAUACUCACGGCUCAGCAAGAACCGUUUGAUGUCGUAGUACCAGGGUUUAUAGUCAACCACAUUUUCGCCAGCCUGAUCGAUCACAUCCCCAAUAGCAAACACAUGGGAAGGUCUUUCAAGGCGUUGCACUUUGAUUACUGGCACAUCAUUCCAAUGGUUUACUCGGAACAUGGAAGAUAGAGUAGCAAGAGCAUCCGCCAUUUGGUUCUCAUCACGAGGAAUAUGAUGCAGCUCAACCUUUGUAAAAUAUGUCAGAAGACGUCUCGCAUAAUCACGAUAAGGAAUCAACUUAGCAUGGUGGGUCUCCCAUUCACCCUUUAUCUGAUUGAUGACGAGCGCAGAAUCUCCAUAGAUGUCGAGGUGUUUGAUUCUCAUGUCAAUUGCUUCCUCGAUCCCGAAGAUACAUGCUUCAUACUCAGCCAUGUUGUUGGUACAUUCGAACAGAAUUCGGGCGGUAAAGGGAAUGUGAUGCCCUUGCGGGGAUACAAUGACUGCCCCAAUUCCUUUGCCAUAAGCAUUGACAGCACCAUCAAAGACUAAACCCCACUUGCUAUUGGGAUCUGGACCUUCAUUAAUCAACGGUUCGUCGCAGUCUUUGGAUUUCAAAUACAUGAUCUCUUCAUCAGGGAAAUCGAAUUCAAUUGGUUGGUAAUCAUCAAGAGGUUGAUAAGCAAGGUGAUUGGCAAGAAUGCUGCCUUUGAUUGCCUUUUGAGUUUUGAACACAAUAUCAUAUUCAGACAAAAGCAUCUGCCAGCGUGCGAUCUUCCCAGUAACGGCCGCUUUCUCAAAGAUAUACUUUAUCGGAUCCAUUCUGGAUAUCAACCAAGUUGUAUGAUUCACCAAAUAAUGGCGCAGGCGUUUGGCAGCCCAAGCUAAAGCACAACAAGUCUUUUCAAGCAUUGUAUAUCGAGUUUCACAAUCGGUGAACUUCUUACUUAGAUAGUAGAUAGCAUGCUCUUUCUUUCCGGUUUCAUCUUGUUGACCAAGUACACAUCCCAUGGAUUCAUCAAAUACUGCCAAAUACAUAAUCAAAGGCCUUCCUUCCACGGGUGGGACAAGGAUAGGUGGUUCCAGCAGGUAAUUCUUGAUGCUAUCAAAAGCUUCUUGGCAUUCAUCAUUCCAUACAACAGGCUGGUUCUUUCUAAGUAGCUUGAAAAUCGGCCCGCAGGUUGCAGUCAUGUGAGAUAUGAAUCGGGAGAUGUAAUUCAAACGUCCCAAGAAACCUCUGACUUGCUUCUCUGUCUGUGGAGCUGGCAUUUCUCGGAUGGCCCGGACUUUAUCAGGAUCGACUUCAAUGCCCUUUUGGCUGACAAUGAAGCCUAAUAACUUUCCGGACCUGACACUGAAUGUACAUUUGUUGGGAUUCAAUCGCAGCUUGUAUUUUCUCAACCUUUCAAACAUCUUUGUUAAAUAUUCAACAUGCUGCUCCUCAUCUGCUGACUUCACAAUCAUGUCAUCCACAUAUACCUCAACUUCUUUGUGAAUCAUGUCAUGAAACAGAGUGGUCAUUCCCCUUUGGUAGGUAGCACCGGCAUUGAUUAGGCCGAACGGCAUCACUUUGUAACAGAAAGUACCCCAUGGAGUGAUAAAAGAUGUCUUUUCUCUAUCUUCAGGGGACAUUUUGAUCUGAUUGUAACCGGAGAAACCGUCCAUGAAGGAGAACACCUUAGAUUGAGCAGUAUUAUCAACAAUCACAUCAAUAUGAGGUAAUGGAAAGUUGUCUUUUGGACUGGCUUUGUUCAAGUCCCUGAAGUCAACACACAUCCGGACUUUACCAUCCUUCUUUGGCACAGGCACAAUAUUGGCAACCCAUUCGGGAUACUCAACUGUCAUGAGGAAACCCGCAUCGAUCUGCUUUUGAACUUCAUUCUUGAUCUUGAGGGCCAUGUCAGGAUGAGUCCUCCUCAAUUUCUGCCUGACGGGAGGACAUUCAGGCUUGGUAGGGAUCCGAUGCUCCACGAUCAUAGGGUCUAGACCUGGCAUAUCUUCAUAGGACCAUGCAAAAAUAUCCGGAUAUUCCCGGAGGAGUUGGAUGAUCUUCUGUUUAACCCCUUCCUCUAGAGUAGCACCAAUCUUGAUUUCUCGCUUGUUUUCCUCGGUACCUAUGUUGAUAAGCUCAAUCUCUUCUUGGUGAGGCUGAAUGGCUUUCUUUUCUUGCUCAAGUAACCGAGUGAUCUCAUACGGUAUGUCAUCACCUUCCUCAUCUUCGGCUUCAUAUACAGGGAAAUCAAAACUUGGAGGAACCGUAGGAUUACUGUGUUCAACGGGUUUAUUAUGGUUCAACCUGCAUAUAAUGAUUGGAUGAUUUUAGAAAGAGCUUUUUUUUUUCAUGCAGAUUUUUGAAACUAAUAAGAAAAUACAGACGUUUUGGUUUUUUCUGGCAUUACCAUUGUUUCCAAGGGAAAAAGCACUAAAAGAAAAGUAGUCGUGGAAGAAACGACAAAAUUUUAUUAACCAACGGCAAUGCCGAAACAAACAUGCCCUUACAGAAAAUAUCACUCUCGCUUUGGGCAGAGCGAGAGGAUUGUUAUUUUGAAAACAAAGCACUAAAGCAACAAGACACAUUACUCAGAAACAUGCAUGAUUGAAGGAAUGUCAAUGGCAUCCCAAUUCGUCGCAAUGCCUCCUGGUGUAACAAAUACAGGCCUGAGACCAGAUCCAGUGGCUUCUUCAGAGAUAACAUUAACAAACCCUGCACUGUGGAAGACUCCUGAGGAAACCCUUGACGAUGGAGAGAACCCGAGACCUUCUUUACGCUUGUUCUCACAGAGCUGUAUCACCUUGCCCCAGCCGGCAGUCUGACCUUCUUGGAUGGCUCUCUGAGCAUCUUUCAAUGAAGCCAUAGCAGCCCCAGCUUCCUUAGACUCUGCACCUUCGAUGGUCAAACCUUGGAAAGCAGUCCCUUCAGCAGACCCUGCUUCAACACAAGAAAAAGAAGACAACUGGCUGACUAAGUAUGCUUCUUCACCAUGGAUUGUAACGAGUUUUCCAUUCUUCACAAAUUUCAACUUCUGAUGUAAGGUGGAAGUAACCGCACCUGCAUCGUGUAUCCACGGUCUUCCCAGCAGGCAACUGUAGGAUGCAUUAAUGUCCAUCACUUGGAAGGUAACCAAGAAAUUCUCAGGGCCAAUAGUUAUCGGCAAGUCUAUCUCCCCCAGCACAUUCUUUCGAGAUCCGUCAAAAGCUUUGACCAAGAAAGUACUUCUCCUCAACGGGGUCCCACGGUAGCUCAACUGAUCUAGAGUUGUCUUGGGCAUUACAUUGAGAGAGGAACCGGUAUCUACCAACACAUUUGAUAUCAUGUCUGAUUUACAAUUCACCGAGAUGUGCAAAGCCAGAUUGUGACUCCUUCCCACUUCCGGCAACUCUUCUUCACUAAACCAGAGGUUGUUACAAGCAGUAAUAUUUCCCACUAUACCACCGAAACGAUCUACCGAGACUUCGUGGUCAACAUAUGCCUGCUCCAGCACUUUCAACAAGGUGUUCCUGUGAGCCUCAGAGCUCAAGAGUAGCGACAAGACAGAUAUCUUCGAAGGAGUUUGCAGCAAUUGAUCAACGAUCUUGUAGUCGCUCCUCUUUAUUAUUCUCAGAAUCUCGUCUAAAUUUGAAUCCUCUAUAGAUUUGCCUGGCUGAUUCACAUCUGUAGCAAUGGGUGAAACAACGGUUGGAGUUGCUUCUUUAACUGGUGGAGUAAUUGGCGUAGCUACCUUCUUCUGAAAUAACGGCGGACGAACCUUCCCGCUUCUCAGCGCUGCAGAAGUCCCUUCGGCAAUAUUGCUUACUGUGGCAAAGGAGGCUAGAGGCACCUCUACUCCAUUUUCUAUCAUAGUGGCAUUGUACUUGUAUGGCACUGCCUUGUCCGAAGCAUAAGGAAUUGGUCCUGGCAACCUUAUUACCAAAGGCUCAGCAUUCUUCUUCAAAGGUACACUCUUGACAGGCGGAUCGUGAAAAACCGGCACAACCACGCAAACAUCACUGACAGUCAGAAGAUUAUCAUUCAUCAAGCUUUGGAUGUCGUCUUGAACAGUAUAGCAGCCCAAAGGAUCACAGAGGCAUCCUAGACACUUGGCAUGAUCAUGGCUGAACAGAGAAGCUUUGCACAGCUUGAUGUGCAGAGGCACCAGAGGAGUAGCAACAUUGCGGACAUCAAGUCUAGGAGCUUCCUCACACACUUCGAUCAUAUUCACAGCGGCAUGAUUUGGUAGUGGAUUGUCAAGGACAUGUGGAACAUUGUUCUCAAAAGUCAGCUUUCCCUGAUCAAUGAGCUUCUUCACGAUAUACUUCAAAGCAUAACACCCCUCGACAUCAUGACCUAAAGCACCUUGAUGAAAGUCACAUUUGAGAUCAGACCUGAACCUUGGAGGCAACGGAUCAGGUGGGGGCUUACCCUGUCUAGUUGUACAAUGUCCUCUCUGGAGUAGAGUUGGAAGCAACUCAGCAUACAACAUUGGUAUAGGAGGAAAAGUUGGCCUAGUAUACUGCUGCUGCUGCUGUUGUUGUUGUUGUUGAACCGGCAACUGUUGUUUCAUCUGUUGGGCAAUUGCAUUGACGGGCACUUGAGGCUGGCCCGGUGGCAAAGGGUACUGAUGAUAAAACGGUGGGAAGAACGGAUGCUGAGAAUACGGCAUAUAUGGGUAUGACGGAGGCAUUUGAGCUGCAUUGAUAGGAGCAACGGUAGCCAUAGAUUGACCGGCUGCAGCUGACACCAUUCCCACUUCCGUUUCUUUCUUCUUGUGGUGUCCAUUACCAUACCUCUUCGAUGCACUCGUAGAAGAUUCAGCUUUCUCAAACACAAUGAUCCCAUCUCUGACUGCUUCCUCAAGACGGGUUCCCAUGGUGACCAUCUCCGAAAAGUUGUUCGGGGCAGCAAUGAUCAUUCUCUCAACAUAAUCUUUCUUCAAGGUCUUUAAGAACGUCUGGGUCAUUUCUUCUUCAUCUAAAGCAGGAGUGAUACGGGCAGCUGCCCCUCUCCACCUUUGCGCAUAUUCACGGAAACUUUCCUCCUUUUUCUGAGAUAGGGACCUGAGAAACUCCCUAUUCGGCUUCAAACGAGUGUUAAACCCGUAGUGGCUCCUGAAAGCGGUGGCCAGCUCAUCAAAAGUAUGGACAUCGUCUUUGCUCAGACUAGUAUACCACUCCGCAGCAUCUUCCAUCAGACUGUCUUGGAAGUAAUGGAUCAUAAGGGAAUCAUUGUCCUUGUAGUUGCCCAUUUUCCGGACGUAUUUGACAAUAUGAUUUUGAGGACAAGUCAGCCCGUUAUACUUGUCGAACUCCGGGACUUUGAACUUUUUUGGAACAUCUACCUUCGAUACCAAGCAGAGGUCCUGGGUUUUAAUGGAGUCUCCAUUUCCCCUGUUGGCCUUAAUUUCCCGUCGGAGCUCUUUGGCAAGUUCUUCCAUUCUCUCUUCCAUAGUUCCGGUUGUGGUAAUACUCCCGUGGUGUGCGUUGGCAUGGACAAAUAGAGGCACCGCAUUCACAAUGGGCUCGGUAACAGUUGUUGCAGCUUGAGUCAAGGCGGUACUAAUAGGAGUUAAGUUUGCCCCUGGGAUUGGGCCACUGUUGGUAGUACCAGAGGUCCCUGCCCCUGUGUUAGCAGUAUAGUACAGCGGAAGUCCGUAAGGAUACCCGGAUGGCAUGAUAGAGCGGGGAUCAGUUGUUACAGUAGGAGUCACAUUUGCAGCUGUAGAAACUACAGGAACUGGUUGUUCCUGAGCAGCCAACAGAGCAGUCAUAGCAUCAUGAGCUUUGGCCAAUUCCUCCCUUAGAGAUGCCAAUUCGGUACGAAGCUGUGUGUUCUCUUCUUCCAUAGCCCUUUUCUUUCUUCUGUAUUCUCUGGUUCGAUCAAUUCUAUCAGGUUCGUAAACUCUCUGAGCACGAGCCACUUUUCACACUGCGGCAGAGAAACCAGGAGGUGGUAAGCACUUGGAAGCCUUUGUGACCAAUGCAUGAUGCAUAUGAUGCAUGAUGUGCAAAUGCAAAUGCAAAAGACUUAUUUUCUCAUCGAAGGAUUUUUAAACAAAUUAGAAAUCUUGCAAAUAAACAAAACUACAUAGUAUUCUCAACAGAAAGACUUUGAAAUAAACAUAUGAAGCCCUCAAGCAUAGGAAGCAGUCGGAAGAUCAUCGGACUCGGAAUCUGAAUCACAGUAUCUGGCAAAGAAGUCUCGUCGUCCUCUGGCUCUCUUGGAAUCCCUCAUAAGCAGCUCGUCUUUCUCUUCCAAUUCCCUCCGGGCCUUAGCUAGCUCUUUCUUCAACAUUAAAUUCUCAUGAGUCUUCUGCUCAUCUCUACCAUCCAAAGUCAUGAUUAGAUUCUCGGCUUGAUUAUACCGAGCUUUCCACACUUGCUUCUCACGACUCUCCAUAGCUAGAUGCUCCUGAUACAUAUCCUGAGUCGCGGGGAGUAGAGGUAGAGGCAUAGAUGGAGUAGACGAAGACACGUAUCUCAUAGCUGGAUAAGGCAUACCAAUCUCCUCAGCUCGAUCUAUCACCCACUGAGUAUAGGCCUCAUGAGCAACACCGGAUCUCACACCUAGAUGCUUCACACUCUUCCUUCGAACCUUGGACCAAGCAUCCAUGAAAGCUUUCCUUUGUCCGGUAGGAGCAUUCGCAUAGAAGAAGAACUCUGGAGAUGUAGCAAGAUUGAUGGGCUUCGACUUCAUAGGGAAACCAAACUGUCUCAUAGCAAGCUCGGGAUUGUAGUUAAUUCCUCCCCGAGUACCAAGAAGAGGUACAUUGAGAAAGUCUCCACAACCCAUAAUGAUUUCCUUCACUUGAGCGGCAGGAGUGAGCCAGACGACCUCAUUAGGAGUGAGGGCCAUAAUCCGCUGCGAGUAGGACCAGUUCUCCGAGUUAUCAUGGAAGGAACUCGGAAGGUGCGAAAUAAACCACCUAUACAAAAGAGAUGUGCAGCAAAGAAUAUACCCACGGCCCUUGAGAGUCCUGUCAUGAAUGGCGUGGUAAGUAUCCGCUAGCAAAGUAGGAACCGGGUUCUUGGAAUGAAAGAUCUCGAUAGCAUUCAUGUCCACGAAGUUGUCGAGGUUCGGAAAGAGAAUGAGCCCGUAGAUAAGCAAAGCAAGAAUAGCCUCAAGUGUAUCCUGACGAGUAGUACCGAGAUUAGCCUGAUCAAGAAGAUACUUCGAAGUAAACCCCCGGAUGUGAGACUUGGUAAUAAGAUGGUUGGAGACGUCGGAAGUCUUGAGGUAGAGAUCCUUAGCAAUAACCAGAGGAGUAAGAGGAGUCCCAGGACCGGUGAAAGGCGUCUUCUCGGCUAUAGGUAAACCCACUAGAUUGGAGUAAGCCUCAAGAGUAGGAACCAACUGGAAGUCCGGGAAAGUGAAGCAACGGAAGCUCGGAUCAUAAAAUUGCACCAGAGUGUGCACUAGCUUCUCGUCCACAUCGGUUCGGAGCAAAGUAAGCAAUCCCCCAUACCGGAGUCGGAACCCUGUUUGGCUCUUGACCUUGAGCGCCAACUCUCUCAAACUAACCAAAUCCACUUCCUUGAACUUGUAGCACUUAGUCUUCUUCAUACCUGUGAUUAUUUACAAAAAAUUUCCAUUUGUUUAAGUCCUUCGAUGAAUGCAUGAAAAAUGUUUAUGCAUGAAUGCAUGUAUGCAUGAUUGUGUUGUUUAGUUACAAUGUGGGUUGAGAUUCAAAGUAACAAGGCCACGGAUGGACACGGUGUCCGGUGAACUAAGGCUUUGGAUAGUAGUAACCAAGGUUCUAACACAGUUCCCAAACUGCAACCUCUCUCACAUAUAUCAUGGUAGUACAGGACGACACCCGUUCCAUGUUUAUUUGUGAGAAGGUCUAGCUUGAGUGUAGUAUCGCGUGACGACUAAAGUUUGAGACAACACUCAAUUUAGCCACCGCACUACGUCCUAAGAAGGCUAGGAUGGGUUUGGUAACUACGGUUCAUAGCUUCGUCGAACAAUUGAAAGUGAAGUGCCUAAGCAUGACAACACACGCCGACAAUACCACCUUCAAAAUGCCUCAGCUAUGUGAGAUUGAUCGCAUAAUCCAAUACACGAGGCAACCCCCGGAUCGAAUUGUCGAUUAUAUCUCUACCUAAACAUAAGUUCACUCAGCCCGGGUAUAGGACUUUUGAUAUUCUCACCCCACACGUCAAAUGAAAAUAAACAAGUAUUCACAUGUGUAGGCAAUAAAAUAAAGCAUAAAUAUACACUAAGGAAAACUAGGCGCGACCCGCUAAAAAGAAUUUCCCCAGUGAAGUCGCCAUUUCUGUUAUCAUGGUUUUUGGGUGCCAAGCCAUUAAUUGGACUUGUACCUUUCGACCGUUGAUAUCUCUAUUUUUUCUUGGGAAGGGCAAAAUUGAGAAAAAACCCUUAGAUUCUAAGUUCGGGGGUCGGUUUUACUACGGGAAGGUGUUAGGCACCCGGAGUAACUAUAGUCCUCUAUAGGAGCCGUUUUCCUAAGUCUAUAUUCACGCUUAUUUUUACUUACUUUUGAAGAUGGGAGGUUUAUUUAGUUAAGAAUGAGGGGAGAGAAGUUGUAAGACUUUUUAAUUUUAUUUCGGCUUGGAUGAGUUUUGACUCAUUGCCUACGUACCGUUUUACGGGAUCAAAACCGGCGUAGUUCUUGCUAAAAAAAAGACUUGUUUUUCUUUUGUUUUAAUUGUUUGAUUUUAAGUUUUAAAAAAAGGUUUUGAAGAAGGAGAUUGGGAGGCUUCAUGAGCAUUAGAUUUAGCAAAAAAGGUGAGGUUUGAUUAGUGAUUUAGAAAGAAAGUCUAAAUGAUUAAGAUGAAUUGAAUUUUUCUUAAGAAAAAAGAGAAAGGAAAAAAAAAAUGAAGUGUUGACUUCAUACUUAUUAUGAAAAUUUUUGAAGUGAAGUUCAAUUGCUUUUUUUGAAAAAAAGAUGGAUUUUCCCUAAGUGUUCAAACCUAAGCGCUUAUCUAACCAUACAAUCCUAUGCAUACAUCUAAGGUGAGUGUGUGCGUGUCGGUGCGUCAUAGUGUCCAUAGUCCAUAUUACAAAAAUUGCCUAAAUACAUUCUAUGGCCCCUUUGCCAAGCUACAAACCAAUGAUAACAAAUUACAUUACCAAAUGAAUUAAAACUUGCAAAAAAAACAAAUGCUAGGCUAAAAAGUGGAGGGAAUGCUGAGUUUUUAUGGAGAUUCUGUUAGGUUUCUUCGGAAACACUUGGAUUUGGCUUUUGCUUGUUGAUUUCUGGCUUUGAACCGAAAAUAAAUCGGUGAUUCUUCUUUUCUCACUGAUUCCGUUUCUUCAUCUUCUUCGCCGGCUUAAAACCUUGCUUCUUUCCCUUUUCUUCUCCUUUUUCAACGCCUCUGUGAUCGGUGUUGGAGUUCUUCGCCACUGGGGAAGAAUUCUCACCUUGAAUUGCAGAGGGAUCAACUCAGUGAUGAAGAUUCGCCAUUGAAUCUCUGAGAGUUUGAUGCAAAAAUCAAUGAAUUUGUGUAUGAAUUUUGGUUCUGGAAAUUUCUAGGGUUCUUGUGUUCUUGAUGAACUUGAUGAUUUUUCUGUUUCUGAUCUAACUGAAUGGAGAGAGAAAGUCUCAUUGUGUUUGUUGAGUUGGCGUGUGAUUAAUGGCUUUGAAUCUGACUCACUGUUUAUAUAGUUGACAUGUGUACACUUGAGCCAAUGAAAUUGUGACACGUACCCUGGACUUGCUCACUUGGGCGCUGCUUGCUAUUUUAAGGACCAAUCUGCAAAUUGUGAAAAUGACAAGGACUGGACUGCAAAAUUAAAAAAAACUUGAAAUGAAAUAAAUAAUAAAAAAACAGUUUGGACAAAAAUGCAAUUUUGGGACCUCAAUUGAGGGACCAAAAUGCAAUACAAAAUAAAAUUUGAAUAAAAAACGUAAUUUGACCAAACGUAAAGUGAAACAAAAAUAAAAUUGACAAAACGGACUAAAACGAACCAAUGGCCUAAAUGAGGUACUUCAAAGUAACCUCCCCAUGCCAAAAUUUCAUGUGAAAUGACCAAAAUGCCCCUAGGGCUAAAAAUGACCUAAACUGACUCAAACAGACUUGACACUGACUUAGAUGCAAGUUUGAAAUGAAUUUAAACAGGGUUUACUGACGAAAUGUCAAAAAAUGAAUUUGAAAAGACUCGGAGAUAGUCACAAGGAUAAAGAUGGGUCCCACUGCAGGAAAUGACCAAAAUACCCUUCUGUAUGACCUUUUGCAAAUUUUGAAAUAAACUGUAGAAAAAGCAAUGUAAUGAUUCAGAGGCACUUUUGAAUGACUUACAAGACAAGUAAAGACAUUUUGAAAGGUUUUAUGCAAGAAAAACAUAGGUAAAAUUGUGAUUGAAAAUACUGCGAAGCAGAGACAAUUUGAACUGUGCAGUUGAAAUUUGAUAAUUGACAAAGUUUAAAAUGAAAUUGGGCCCAGUAUUUUUAGGUCCAAAAACAGGGUAUAACACAUCCCAUUUAGCAUUCCCUCCACUUUCUUUAGCCUAGCCUUUAUCUUUUGCAAGUUUUAAUUCAUUUGGUAAUGUAAUUUGUUAUCAUUGGUUUGUAGCUUGGCAAAGGGGCCAUAGAAUGUAUUUAGGCAAUUUUUGUAAUAUGGACUAUGGACACUAUGAUGCACCGACACGCACACACUCACCUUAGAUGUAUGCAUAGGAUUGUAUGGUUAAAUAAGCGUUUAGGUUUUAAACACUUAGAGAAAAUCCAUCUUUUUUUCAAAAAAAAAUAAUUGAACUUCACUUCAAAAACUUUCCUAAUAAGUAUGAAGUCAACACUUCAUUUUUUUCCUUUCUUUUUUUCUUAAGAAAAAUUCAAUUCAUCUUAAUCAUUUAGACUUUCUUUCUAAUCACUAAUCAAACCUCACUUUUUGCUAAAUCUAAUGCUCAUGAAGCCUCCCAAUCUCCUUCUUCAAAACCUUUUUUCUCAAAACUUAAAAUUAAACAAUUAGAACAAAAAACAAGUCUUUUUAGCAAGAACUACGCCGGUUUUGAUCCCGUAAAACGGUACGUAGGCAAUGAGUCAAAACUCAUCCAAGCCGAAAUAAAAUCCAAUUCUACUUCUUCUCACCCCCAUUCUUCACUAAUCAUACUUUCUUUUUUACAAAUAAGCAAUAAAACUAAAGCGUAGAAAUAAACUUAGGAAAGCGGUUCUUAUGGAGUACCAUAAUCGCUCCGGGUGCCUAACACCUUCCCGUAGCGAAAACGACCCCCGAACUUAGAAUCUAAGGGUUUUUCUCAAUUUUGCCCUUCCCAAGAAAAAAUAGAGAAUAUCAACGGUCAAAAGGUUCAAGUCCAAUUAAUGGCUUGGCACCCAAAAACCAUGAUAACAAUAAGAAACUGAAAUAGUGUAUUUUGUUUAUAACCCUCCGUCCCAUAAAAACCGAGCCAUUUGCAAAAAAAUAUUGUCUCAGAAAAAUUGACUCAUUUCACUUUUCAAUACAAUAUUAAUUACUUUUUUUUUCCUUUCAAUUAUAACACUAAUUAAUAUUACUUUCACCACUCCCAAUUUAAUAUAUUCUAAUUUGCAUUUAUGAUAAAGAAGAAUGCACCAAUAGUUACUCAAAACCAUUUUUCUCUCUCUUUUUACUUAUACAUAUUUUCUUAAUAAGUGUGAAAUGAGCUAAGAGCUGAGCUCGAGCUCAGUUAAAAUGGGACGGAGGAGGAAUGUAAUUCAAAGUAACUCAAUUUUAUGCUAUUUAUUUAUUUAUGCUGAAGCCUCAUUAUAAUAGUAUAUAGUGAUAUGUGUGAGAAGCAUAGGAAAAGUACAUAUGGUGAUGAAUGAUGGAACAAGCUUAAAGUCAUAAUUAUUAUUGUUCAAUCAUAAAUAGAUGGUCCCCCAAUUAGAAAAGUAUUUAUGAUCCCCCAUUUUAAAAUGACCCUCGUCCUUUUUUAGAAUUUUAAUCUUAAUAAUGGUGAUAUAUCAUAAUUAAAUGGAUGCAUUUAGGAAGUUUAUAAAUAAUUUUAUAGGUAUUGAUGAUUUUACAUUAUCGGAUCGUAUGACACAUCAUUUAAAAUAUGUCAUGUUAUAGUUUUUUAGUUUAAAAAUAUGAAGAAAAAGAUAUGUCACGUCAGUACUUUUGAGUCCAAAAAUAUAAAAAUAGGCCAAAACGAAUUAUUCUAAAAUUUGGGACAAAUUUCAUGAAAAUAAAGACCUAGAGUGUAGUUAAGACUUAUAACUAUUUUAAACAUUCCUUAAAAAAACUAAUCUAUAAAAUGACAUACGAUUAAUUAUAAAUAUGAUUGACAUAUACUCUAAAAAAGGAAAUGUUUGCAUAUGGUAUUUUAAACACCGUUCUCGUGAACUUAACUCAAUUGAUACGGACAAUGCUUAAUAUGUGCAAGGUCUAGGGUUUUAACCUUGAUCACAAAAAAAACACCAAUAUUUUUUUUCGGGGAUAUUAAACACCAAUAUUCUUUGGAUACUUCUACCCUAAUAUCCAUUACUAAAGUAUUUUAAAUUAUUUAUUUAAUUUUUGUGUGGCUUUUGAUGGUCUAAUCCUAAUUUGUAGAGCAACAUGCAAAUAAUUGGACUAUAAAAGUUACGUGCACAAUUUUUCAUCAAGAAUUUUUUGGCAGCACGCAUUGAAAAUUUGUGUCUCAUUAAGAAUUUGUUAGCACUACGCAUGCAUAUUCUUUUGGGCCUGUCAUCCUGUGUAUUUUCAUUUUCAACAGUAAUUUGUCGGCACUACUAAGCAUCUAUAUCUAUCUUUGUUUUGAAACAGCAAAACUUAUAAAAAAAUCCACUCUUUAGACAAAAACGAACAAAUACCGACAAUUCAAAAACUACAAAAUAAAACGUCAUAUGUAGGCAGAACACAAAAAAAACACCAUAACAUAUCUCACCUCACCAAACAAAAACCUACGUUCAACCGCCAUAAGAAAACAAUCACCAAACCCAACUUCAUCACUCAAACCAAACUCCAUCGCAAACGACCACUGAAAACAAAAUCCAUAAACAUCCAUCGUCCGCUACUCACCCCAAUACCUCCAAAAACCAUCUUAAACAUCAUCAUCUUCUCAUCACCAUAACCUAGCCCAAUUUAACACCCGAAAAGUCCUAUUCCAACUCUCCUUCGGGUUCUACCACCCCUCAUCCCCUGGUCCACCAAAGAAAACAUCAUAAAUAUCCCAAAAUAAACUUGACUCACCGUAUAUUUAUAUCUAUAUCUAUAUCUAUAUCUAUCUAUAUAUCAAUUAAUUCAGGCUCUCAAGUUAUAUCUAUUAAUUUAGGCUCUCAAGUUAACCUCUUCACAACUCACCAUGUUAUAUAUAUCAUAUAGUCUAAUUUUGGCCACAUCAAAUAAAUUCUAAUGUGACAUCUUCCAAAACACACCAUUCCUUAUUCUCUCGUUGCCUUGCUUCAUAAUUUAUGUAUUAUUACAUCUCAUUCCCUUACGAAUUCACAAUUAAAUGACGUUUACUACAUGUCAUAACUCUCAUGUAAUAACGUCAAAUAAGAUGCAUGACCUUAAAUGUCAAAUCAUUAUUAUUAUUAUUAUGAGAGAAGAAGUGAAUGAAUAAUAUUCUCAUUAUUGAUCAAAUGAUAGAGGUUACAACUUAUAUAGUCAUGGUCUAGGAAUACAGUAAUACAAUAGUGGUAACAUCGAAUAUAAAAACUAAGAUAGCUAACUCUACUUGAUAAUAACUCUCAUGUAAUGUCAAAUAAGGUGCAUAACCUUACAUGUCAAAUCAUUAUCAAAUUUAUUACGAAAUUAAUCAAGAACCAAACCUUGAUCCAACAUGGAACUCAAUCAACAAUCAACCCACUUAUUUUGUCGUUAACAUGUUUGUAUGUUUUUUUCUUUUGUUCUCUUUGUAUCAUUUGAUUAUUACUUUAUUGUUUAGAUUCUUUAGAUUGAAUGUGUUUUUUCCUUCAUCUCCUAUGCAAUUAAUAUAUGGACAUGUUUUAAUUCGGUAAUAACGGUGUGCUCAUCAAAUUGGCAAAAUGUUUCCACAUAAAAAAAAAUAAAAAAAUAAAAAAUGUAGCGGUUCAUGUCUAAUAUGAAUCCGGUUAAUAAAAUAAUAUUUUUUUCUCUCCAAUUUUUGCUAAACAUAGGACACCAUUGUUAUUUUUUGCAUGUUAUUUUUUAAGCGACACGUUUUAUAGAUUUUUUUUAGGGAACAUUGUAUGGAAUUUUAGGAAAUGGAUCUCGCCAACUUAAUUUUUUUGUCAGGUUGUCUAGUGGUUCGAGUUCACACAUAUUAGAGAUAUAUAGUUUAGUUACAAGUAGUACUAGUCCUGGUAGUAUAUAUAGUUGUAACCACCUCAUAAGUGGGAUACUUUUCACUCAUUAGUAAUAUUUCAUUUCUAUCAAUACAAAGAGUUUGUUAGAUUUUGCUCCUUCGAUCUAUGGAUGCCAUGUUUCCUAACAACACAUUUUAAAUGUGGUGAAAUAGAGUAUCCGAGUUUAAACCCUAACCCCUACAUAUAUUAUGCGAUGUCCUUAUCAAUUAAGCUAUGUUCACCGGAAUAUUUCUUUCUGUUUUCACAUCUCAACCAUCAUAUAACCUCUCUCUCAAAUUCCAAUAUCAAUGUCAUCUCCUCUUUAUAAUUUAAUGGUCUAGAUUCCCACACUAAUUCUUCAACUUCUUUUUUACCAUGUAUCAUUUUUGUCACAUCACUUAUUUUUCAACAUGCAAGACUUUAUUCCAUUUUGCAUAUCCUACACUCCAUGUUUGUAAUUGCAGACGAUCUAAUUUCUCAUAAAUGAUCUCAACCUAGGAUCAUGGAUAUGGUCAAUAUCAUGGAUACCGCUAGAAAAUUCAUUUGUAGACCACAAAUGAAUUUUCUAACGGUAACCACAAAUGGAUUUAUGGUUAUAUAUAUAUAUAUAUAUAUAUAUAUAUGCGCGCACGCUGGGGGCCAUGAGUGAGAUGAGAACUGAGGGAGAAGGAUCCACAUAUGCAAUGGUUGCUAGUGAAAAUCCUUCCUUAUCUUAGUUUCAAAGGAUUUAUUCCAUUGCAUCUAUAUAGAAAAAGAGAAAAACUAAAAAUGUGUAGUUCUGUUAUUGAUCAAACAAAUAGCUAACUAAAACUAUAUUAACUAUACCCUCUAGAUGCAGACAAAUAGAAUGCUCAUAUACAUAUUCCCACCAAUAUUCUUCACUUCAAAUGAAUAUAACUAAAUGUGUCGGGGUCGUUUAGGUUUCAAAUAUCAACAUGUGUCGGACACUAAACACACAUCAAUUUGAAGUGUCAAUGCUACACACUUUAAAACCUUUGACCUAAGCAAGCUUACCAUGUCUAUUUUACAUUAAAACUGUUUUCCAUGCUAGAGUAAAACAUUUACUUAUGAUUUGUAUUUAAUUAGUUAGUUAUUCCUAACAAAACUAUAAAUCUUGUAGAAUAGAGAAGGAUGUUAGUUUAAACCUGUACACACGGCAAAAUGAUUGUUUUGCCUUAAUUUAUCCUUCACAUGAGAAUGGAAUUCAAGAUACUGUGGAAAAAACCUAACUCACCCAACUGCAAUUAUUCAAAGCUAUAAAAUUCAACUAAUAAAGAUUUAAAUACAUGCCAUAUAACUAUCUAAUUCAAUCCAUUUAAUAUUAGCAAUAACCACUAUUUUAUUUUAAGAAUUCUUGCACAAGAUAUGUUCAAUUCCAUCAUCAUAAACUGAUUACUUAUUAGCAUCAUCUCUUAAAUUCAAUGUAAUACUAAAUUGCAUAAAAAAAAGUCACUUAGGUUUGAUUUUGUUUAAGCAAAACCUCCUUAAUCACUUUUUCCAAAUUCAUGUAUGAACAACCACCAGGUCUCGUGUCCUCCUCCGCCUUCGUCUUCAUCUCAAUUAUCUUUUUCCACAUCUUCUUUCCUUUCUCCCCCUCCAUCAAUUCAUUGACCAAAUUCUCUACCUCAUCUCUCUUCACAUUGGUGUCAAUUUCCAUGCCAAUCUCCCAUGUAUUGCAAAUAUAUCUGCAGUUUGCUGGCUGAUCAGCAAAAAAUGGCCAACACAACAUUGGAACUCCAGCAGAUAUGCUUUCAGUGGUUGAGUUCCAUCCACAAUGAGUCAAGAAUCCACCAAUUGAAGGAUGGUUUAAUACUUGCUCUUGCGGGCACCAGCCCGCGAUUAGGCCUCUAUCUGAAAUUUCAUUGACAAACUCCGAUGACAAAACAACUGAGCCACCGAUGACAAGAUCGGGCCUAAUGAUCCACAAAAAGGGUUGCUUGCUAUUUGCUAAACCCCAUGCAAACUCUAACAGUUUUUCUGCCGUCAUAACUGUCAUGCUCCCAAAAUUCACAUAAACAACGGACCUCGGUUCCUUGGAUUCAAGCCAACCAAGACACUUGUUAUCUUCUUUCCAAAGAUUGGUACUUAAACUUGCCAAGUGAUUAUGUGGACUUUGACUUAAAAGUGAAGAUAAAGGGCCGAUACCACAAAUAUUUGGGAACGUCGAGGAGAGAACAUUCAUUACAUCCUUCUCAAGUUCACUAGAAGUAUUAAAAAUAAAAGCAGACGCUUUGUGAGCCCUUCCUGCUGCUUCAACGAUAAAUUCUACCAUCGAAUCAUUUGUAUCUGUAAUCCUUAUAAAGUCAGGCAGAUCCUUCAGUCGAAAGUUCUGCAAUCCUGGAAUACAAUCCACUUUAGUGUCCAAAUAUCCGUUUGUCAGAUAACUCUCAUCUACAUGUCAAAUUUAUAAAAGUUGUUAGCUGGAAAUAAAAUCUCCAUACUCCUAAUACAUGUCAUUUGAUUUUGAACACUUUAACUAUUCUACAUAUAUGAAGAAAGCAAGAAGAUUAAUUGUUACCUUUUAGUGGUAUGAGACCUUUAUCCAACAAUGUACUAAAAUGAAUAAAAGUCAAAAAUGUACAUGCAUUGGAUGGACUAAAGAAAACAGAAGGGAUUGAAAGUUCUUCAGAAGCUUGUAUGGUAAAAGACAUGCCAAUAUCAGAAACUAUGCAAGUAACUGGAGGGACAAGACCAGAUGUUGCAGAGUCAUUUAGUCUAGCAAGAAGUUCGCGGAAAGGUUGUAGGAAGUUCUUUCUGAUUGAUUUACAAAGAGCGUAAAUGUCUUGACUAACAUCGCCAUCACCAUCCGUUGGAGUUAAACCAUCCGGAAUAGUCUCAAAGCUAAAAUCAGUGAAACCAUCAAAGGCAUUUGGACCUCUUGACUUGAGCAACCGUUUGUGGUUGUAUUCAGUGUUUACAUAGGUUAUGUGAAAUCCUCUAAGGUGAAGAAGUUUUGCUAGUUUCAACAAUGGAUUGAUAUGGCCUUGAACUGGAUAUGGAAUUAACACAGCAUGUGGUUUUUUAUCACUCAUUUUUGAGUUUUUGUGUUUGAAUGUUGAGCUAAGGGAAGCCAAUGGUUUAAUAAAGAUAAAGCCAAUGUUUCUUGGAUUUGUGUAAAAGAAGAUAAGAGACAAAAGUCAAGGAAAGCAAACUCAAAUUCUAAGUAAUAUGUAACACAAUAAUUGAUACAUACUUAUCAAGUCACCACUUUUUGUUAUAGAAGGAAAACAAUUUUUCAUUAAAAAGUUUAUUGAACAAACUUAAGCAUGCCUUUUGGUUUGCGGUGGCGAGAAUUGAUUUGAAUGAAUUUGUUUGAUAAAAUUAGUAUCAGGUUAAAAGUGCGUUGAAUAUAAAAUAAUUUGUGUUUAUAUAAAUUUACGUAAAAUUGAUUUGAACUAUAAAUUGAAGACUAAAAAUCGAUUAUAAAAACAAAAUUUUGAUAUCUUAACUUUAAAUUACGAGCAAUUUGGAGACAAAAUCAAUUCUAUUUAAUUUGAGAACACAUAACCAUAGGGUCUGACUAGGCUUAUCUAAGAUCCCUAAUGUAACCAACUUGCAUCUAAUCAUAACUAACUUAUAACUAUCUUGAAAAAUAUCAAACUAAUUUUAACAAAUCUGAAACUAUAUCUAACACAUACUUGCAUGGAAUUGCAACCAUUCAGUAGAAAGAUAUUAUCAAACAAAAUCUUCAUAUGCUUUAGUCAAAAAAAAGGAAAAUCUUCAUAUGCUUGUGGACCAACUGAUCCAUACGUUUCAGUUUCAAAAUUGAACUAGAUGACACUUUUAUUCAAGUAAGUGUAAGAUAGUUCUGACAUCAAAGAUUUUUGUUGUACAAAGAAAAUAAUCAUGACCACUUAUUUAUUUUAUAAUAGUCUAUUGGCUAUUAUUUUCCAUGCUUGAAUCAGUCAGACAUUGGACAUCACAAAAAAAAAUUGUCCUUUUCAACAAAGGCUCAAGAUUAUCUCCAAAGUCACAAUUGCAUAAAAGCCAAAUUUACUUUUAUUGUGCAGAGAAAAGUGGAUGUAUAUUAUCAACACUGCCUUCCAUAAGGGCUUCGUGUCCUCUAAUUUUUUUUUUUACUAGUCUUUGUUAUGUCCUUUAUCAUGUCUAUGAGGUAUCAACUCAAUGGUAAGAGUUUGAGCUUUUAACCUCAAGGGAAAAAGUACAAUUCCCCUUAAUAACAGUGGUAAAAAUGCUCAUUGUUGUAACUUUAAUUAAUAAACCCUUAUAUUGACUAAUAGGAAUGUUAAAAUAUUUCUUGAAAUCUCAUGUUGAAAGUUUGUUCUUCUUUUCGGUUUGAUUAGUGUUCCCAUGCACUAGGCGCAGUUGUUUGUUGUUUUCAGCUUGUUGUAAUUUGUAGCUUGCGCAAGGCGAAGGAUAUAGCUGACUGAGGCGCAGGUGUGCAUCAAGAUCUAUAGAUAAGCAGGUUUUGCAUCAGUUUUCAGGGUAAAAAAGUGGGAAUUCUAAGGUAACAAAAGAGGGAAUUUGUAGGGUUAAAAGUUCACAUAUAUAGAUAAGAAUUUGUAGGGGACAUUGAUGAUUUCACACAAUUUGCAUUUGCAUCAUCGGUGAAUGUUUUUGAAUGUUCAUAGAGGAAAGAAACUUUGAAUUCAAAUGCUUUCAAAUCAAUCUAUGCAACAAGAAGCUGACAAAGUAGUGCAGAGAAAUUUUAUAAACGAGCUAAAGAAGAAUAUAAAUUUAAUAUUAUUAUGAUUUUGAAGUAUUGUCUUACUUCGAAGUAUGAACAGCAAUGUACCAUACUUAAGAACAUAGCAAGACCUAAAAUACAAAUGAUUUGUUCCUAACAAAACUAUAUAUAUUGUAUAAAAGUAACUUAUGUUUGAUUUUGUUUAAGCAACACCUCCUUAAUCACUUUCUCCAAGUUCAUGUAUGAACAACCUCCAGGUCUCGUGUACACCUCCGCCUUUUUCUUCAGCUCCAUGGCCUUUUGCCUCAUCUUCUUUCCUUUAUCUCAGGACAUCAAUUCAUUGACCAGUUUCUCCACGUCCUCCCUCUUUACAUUUGUAUCAAUUUCGUUUCCAAUCUUCCAUUCAUUGCAAAUAUAUCUUCAGUUUGCUGGCUGAUCUGCAAAAAAUGGCCAACACAACAUUGGAACUCCAGCACAUAUGCUUUCAGUGGUUGAGUUCCAUCCGCAAUGAGUCAAGAAUCCACCGACUGAUGGGUGGUUCAAUACUUUCUCUUGUGGACACCAACUUGCUAUUAGUCCUCUAUCUGAAAUUUCUUUCAAAAAUCAGAUGAGAAAACCACCGAGCCACCAAUGACAAGAUCAGGCCUAAUGAUCCAUAAAAAUGGUUUCUUGCUGUUGGCCAAACCCCAAGCAAACUCUAAGGCUUCUCUUGAGACUUAACAGUGAUGCUGCCAAAAUUUACAUAAACAACAGAUCCUGGUUCUUUUGAUUCAAGCCAUUCAAGACAUUUAGUAUCUUCUUUCCAAAGAUUACAGUCUAAAGAUGUCAAGUGAUUUUGUGGACUUUGAUUUACAAAAGAAGCUAAUGGACCAAUUGUGUAUAGAGAAGGGAACAUAGAAUAGAAAGCAUUCAUAACAUCACUCUCAAGUUCAUUAGAAGUAUUGAAUACCAUACCAGAAGCUCUAAGACAUUUAUCUGCCACUUCAGUGUUAAAUCUUAUCGUCAAGUCAUUAGGAUUUUUUGUCUUUAUUAACCUAGGAAGAUCCUUCAAUCUGAAGUUUUUCAAACCUGGGAUCCAGUCAACUUUCGUGUCCAGAUAUUCAUUUGUUAGAUCACUCUCAUCUGCAUGUCAUAAUUGCAAAAAUCAAUAGCUUAAAGUCAUAUGUAUAAAUAUAUAUCAUGGUUUAAAAUCACAUUAACAAUAAUAAUUUUGCCUGUGCUAUCAUAUUGAUAUUGCAUAUAAUCCCAAUCAAAUCUGGCUGAUGAAACCUCAAUUGUGAUUAUAGAGACAUCGCAACCUUGAUGUUCGGCCCAUAUUGUGACCGCAAAGCUUUUUUAAAAACCAUAACAUACACACAAAAACACACACAGAUCUCCUAAAAAGAAAAAGGGAACAGAAAUGAUUACCUUUGAAUGGUAGUUGACUAUUCUGAUACAUUUUAGGACUGAGCAAACAAGCCAAGAAAUAACAUGCUCUACUUGGGGAAAAAAGAACAACUGGGAGUGCAUGUUCUUCAGCAGCAGCUACUGUAAAUGGCAUGUAGCAAUCAGAAACUAAGCAAGUGACUGGGGGGAUAAGACCAGCAGUGGCAGAGUCUUGAAGUUUAGCAAGAAGUUCAUCAAAGAAGUGGUGAAAGUUCGUUAUGAUUGAUUCACCAAGAGAGUGUAGGUCUUGACUAAUAUCACCAUCACCAUCCUUUGGAGUUAAACCAUCUGGUAUAGUCUCAAAGUUAAAGUCAGUGAAACCAUCAAAGGCAUUUUCACCUCUUGAUUUAGCAAACGUUUGUGAUUGUAUUCAGUGUUAACAAAGGUUUAUGUGAAAGCCUCUUAGGUGAAGCAGUUUUGCUAUUUUCAACAAUGCAUUGAUAUGACCUUGAACUGGAAAUGGAGUUAAUUAACACUGCAUGUGGCCUUUUCUCUUCAAAGUUGGUCAUGUUUGAUAUUUUUCUUAUGUAAGAAAACAGAGAAAAAACUGAGGUGAAAAAUCUAUGAGGCCUCUAUAACAAUGAGUAAGUUUUGUUACAUAUCUAUUAUCUAUUAUAUAGUAUAAAAAAAUUCUUAAGAAUAGAAAAACCAUUUUUUUUUAAUAAUUCAAUUACUGUCUAAUUCAUGUUUAUCUAAUUUUUAGUAUUUUAAUAAUUGAGAAGAUAAUAAUAUUUUUUUUAAUGUUGACGUUCCGAUUUUUAGAGAAAAUGGGUUCUGAUAAUUUGGAGUUCGGUCGUGAGGUAAACAUCACCUUACCAAGAAUUGAGAAGAGAAUAAAAUAAAAUAUAAUAACAUGAAUCUAACUGAAAAAUGAGGAGAUUGAAACUCCGAAAGCAACGUCUGCAUGUUGAAAGGAGACCACUUUCUAUACACACACAAUGGUGUUCAGACGGGUACAGACUUGCCAAUCUAUUUAUUAUGACCAACUAAACAAACAUACGAUUUUUAAACGUUAUCUAUGCGGACAGACUCUGGACCAUUGUUCAAGUCACAUGACUUUUAAACGUUAUCAAUUUGGUGCGCUUUUAAUCGAUUUUGAGGCUAAAAGACAUCCCAAUCGUAAGAUAAAAGAGUAUUUAGUUUGGUUUGGUUCAGUUGAUUUUUAAAAUAAAAUUUAAACCAAACCAAACCAAUAUGAUUUGAGUUGUAUUGGUUGAUGCGGUUUUUUUGAGACAAUACAAUUUUUUGUUUCCAACAUUAAAAUCGAGUUAAAAAGCUAUAACACAACAUAUUUUCAAUAAUGUUUGAAACAAUGUUUUCAAUUUCAUCCAACAUUACAAUUUUAUUUUCACAAAACAAAAUAGACGAAAUUUAAAAUGUGGACAAAAAGUAAUCCUAUUAUUUAAUAAAUGUAAAAGAUUAAGAUUUAUUAUUCUUAAAAUUUUAUUUUAUAAUUUUUUUAAUUUUUGAAAUAGAAAGCAAAGAAGAAACUUAACGUACAAGGGAAAAAAAUAUGCCGUUUUAUAAAAGUUUUUAUUGAGUUUCUAUGAGUAUUGGUGUAGGUGACAUAGGUUUAAUUUGGUUAGGUGACAUAGUUUCUAUGAGUAUGUCGUUUUACAAAAUAGUUUUUUUGCAUUUUUUGGUAUAUAAGAAGAAACAUAAACUAGUAUACAUAUGAUUUUUUGACAAAAUGGAUCCUUCACAUGAUAAUGGAAUUCAAGAUACUGUGAAAGAAUUCUUAUUCACCCAACUUAACAUAUUUAAACUUGUAGGAUUUAUAUUAUAAAGUUAAUAUACAUGCCAUAUAAUUAUCCAAUAUGCAUAUAUUCAAAACACUUAAAAUUAGCAAGAAUCACUAUUUAAGUUCAGGAACUCUUGCUGAAGAUGACUUCACUUACAUCAGAACUUAAAUUCAAUAGGGGAAGAUCAAUUAAUUAUCGUUGAACUGAAUUGCAUAAAAAAGUUACUUAAAUUGAUUUUGUUUAAGCAAAACCUCCUUGAUCACUUUGUCCAAGUUCAUGUAUGAACAACCUCCAGCUCUCGUGUUUUCCUCCACUUUCUUCUUCAACUCAAUUGCCUUUUGCCGCAUCUUCUUUCCUUUCUCUCCUGACAUCAAUUCAUUGACAAGUUUCUCCACCUCUUCUCUCUUUACAUUCGUAUCGAUUUCCAUCCCAAUCUCCCAUUCAUUGUAAAUAAGUCUACAGUUUGUUGGCUGAUCACCAAAGAAUGGCCAACACAACAUUGGAACUCCAGCACAUAUGCUUUCAGUGGUUGAGUUCCAUCCGCAAUGAGUCAAGAAUCCGCCAAUUGAAGGGUGGUUCAAUACUUUCUCCUGUGGACACCAACUUGCAAUUAAGCCUCUAUCUGAAAUUUCAUUCACAAACUCAGAUGACAAAACGACUGAGCCACCAAUGACAAGGUCAGGCCUAAUGAUCCACAAAAAGGGUUUAUUGCAAUUGGCCAACCCCCAAGCAAAUUCCAACAGUUGUUUUGGUGUCAUAACUGUAAUGCUUCCAAAAUUCACAUAAACAACGGAUCCCGGCUCCUUGGAUUCAAGCCAUUCAAGACACUUAGUAUCUUCUUUCCAAAGGUUGGAACCUAAAGAAUCCAAUUGAUGAAUUUGUGGAGUUUGGUUUAAUAAUGAAGGUAAAGGGCCAAUGGGGUAAAGAGAAGGAAACAUAGAGGAGAGAGCAUUUAUUACAUCACUCUAAAGUUCAUGGAAAGUAUUCAAAACAAUUGUAGAGUCUCCAAGAACUUUAUCAGCCGCAUCAAUUACAAAGUCUAACAUAAUAUCAUUUGGAUCUGUUGUCCUGAUACUGUCAAAGAUAUCCUUUAACCGAAAGUUUUUCAAACCUGGAAUCCAAUCUACAUUAGUUUCCAAAUAUCCAUUUGUUAGAUAGCUCUGAUCUGCAUAUCAAAUGUAUCAGUUAAUAUCUUGAAGGUUAUACAUACAUCCGUACAUACAUGAGUAUUUUGUUUUCGACAAAAACAUACAUAUAUAAUAAGGUAUUAUAAAUUGAAUAAAAGUCAUUUAUUGAUGUAUAAAUUUUAAUUUUGAAGUUUUAUGAAAUUUGUGGAGUUCCUCUAUUCAAUAAGAGUUUUUAAUUUGAUGGUUGCUUUAUUGAAAUUUAGUGUCUACAUUGAGUUUUAUAUUAACUGAAACUAUAUCAAGUGUUACUCUUGGAGUAAGUUGAUUAUCUCGCACACGACCAUUUAUAUAGAUUUAAUUCAUAUAUAGAGUCAAAGUAAAAGUUUUUUACACCGUCAAUAAAUCAUAAGUGUCAGAAUAGUGUAGCAAAAUUAAUAUUAAUCUCUCUAUAAAUAUAUACUUUAUGAAGAAAAAAACUUAACUUAGUACCUUUGAGUGGCGUGAGACCUUUUUCUACAAAGGAACGUAAGUGGUGAAUACUCAGUAACAAACUUGCACUGGAUGGAAAGAAGAUAACAAUUGGUAGUGCAAAUUCUUCAGCAGCUUGUAUAGUAAAGCUCAUAAAAUAAUCAGAAACUAAGCAAGUAACUGGUGGAACAUUGGCAGAGUCAUUAAGUCUUGUAAGAAGUUCACAAAAAGGUUUAAGGAAAUUUUUUCUUAUAGAUUGAGCAAGAGAAGGUACAUCUUGACUAACAUCACCAUCACCUUCUAUCGGUGUUAGACCAUCUGGUAUGGUUUCAAAGCAAAAACCACGGGAACCAUCUAAGGCAUUUGGACCUCUUGAUUUUAGCAAUCGUUUAUGAUUGUAUUCAGUGUUGACAAAGGUUAUAUGAAAUCCUCUAAGGUGAAGAAGUUUUGCAAGUUUGAACAAUGGAUUUAUAUGUCCUUGAAAUGGAGCUGGAAUCAACACAGCAUGUGGUUUUCUGUUUGCAAAACUUCCCAUCUUUGAAAUUUUUCUGUUUGUAUGUUAUUUGUGCAAGAUAUGAGGUUGAAAAACAAGUGAUAGGCAUGUGCUUUUAUAGAGAGAAAAAAGGACAAUGCUACAAAAUUGAAAAAUAUAAAGAAAUCCAAACAGAUAAAUUCUGGGAGGUUCUAACAAAAGGAAAUAAGUUCAUUGUAUGAAAAGACAGACACAUAAAAAGACACCAAAAAUGACACUGACACGUUAACGUCAAUGAUAAUUUGAGAAAUAAAUUAAUUCAAUGUAAUUACAAUGUGUCUGACAUAAAAUUGAAAUCUUAUACAGGUAUGUUCUUGUAAACUUUCCUAUAUGACUCAUUAUAUUGAUUGAAUAUGUUUGUUGGUAUUUGGUUUAACCAAUCAAUGUGGCAUUAACAAUUCAACUGUUACUUGUUACUUAGAUGUCGUUUGAGAUUUAUUUGGGAAUUGAUAAAAUAGAAAAGUUGAGAAAAACUUUAUAUUGUGAUCCUAAAAUCACUAAUAUAACCAAAUUGAAUCUAACCAUAUCUAACUAUCUUCCAAAAUAUUAAACUAAUUUUAACAAAUCUGAAACUACAUCUAACACAUACUUGCAUGGAAUUGCAACCAUUCAGUAGAAAGAUAUUAUCAAACAAAAUCUUCAUAUGCUUGUGGACCAACUCUAUACGUUUCAGUUUCAAAAUUGAACUAGAAGGCACUUCUAUUCAAGUAAGUAUAAGAUAGUUCUGACAUCAAAGAUUUUUGUUGUACAAAGAAAAUAAUUAUGUCCACUUAUUUAUUUUAUAAUAGUCUAUUGGCUAUUAUUUUCCAUGCUUGAAUCAGUCAGACAUUAGACAUCACAAAAAAAAUAUUAGUCCCUUUCAACAAGGGCUCAUGAUUAUCUCCAAAAGUUACAAUUGCAUAAAAGUCAAAUUCACUUUUAUUGUGCAGAAUAGUGACUAGUGGAUAUGUUGUCUUCAUUAUCAAUGGUACCUUCCAUAAGGGCUUUGUGUCCUCUAAUUUUUUUACUAGUCUUUAUUUAUGCAUGUAUUAUAAUCCUUUAUCAUGUCUAUGAGAUAUGGGCUCAAUGGUAAAAAUUUCAGCCAGUAAUCUCAAAGGACAAAGUUCAAACUCCCUUGAUAACAGUGGUAAAAUGGUCAUUGUUGUAACUUUAAUUAAUAAUUCUUAUUUUCACUAAUAAGAAUGUUAAAAUAUGUCUUGAAAUCUCAUGUUAAAAGUUUUUUUUCUUUUCGGUUUGAUUAUUGUCCCCAUGCGCUGGGCGAAGCUGUUUGCUGUUUUCAUCAUGUUGCUAUUUUGUUGCUUGGAUGAGGCGAUAUAGCUAAAUGAGUCAUAGGUGUGCGUCAAGAUCUAUAGAUAAGCAAUUUUUGCAUCAGUUUUCAGGGUGAAAAUGUGUGAAUUUUAGGGUUACAAAAGAGGGAAUUUUUAGGGUUAAAAGUUGAGAGCUUUUGGAAAAAUUAUAGGAUUAGGAAACAUUUUUGUACAUCUUGGAAAUAAAGCAUCGAGUCUUUUGUCCAUCGGAAGAGAAUUGGGAAAAUUGUAACCCUUGUAUUUCUUUGUAAGAAACUCUUUGUUAGUGGUAAGCCAGAUUUGGGUCGAACUGGAUAACUUUGUUUUGGUUGUUGCUAAUAUUUCUCCACACUUCAAAGUAUUGAUGUGAGUUUUUACAAAUUCACAACAACUGGAACCCACCGUGGGAGAAAUAAGAGGUAACUUUUUCAAGUGUGCAACAUGGGUACCAACUGGGAUAUCAAUAAAUUUAUCGGAGACAACGAUUUGGGGCUGUGAAAAGUGAAGAUGAAAGAUGUGUUGAUUCAACAAAAGUUUGCAGAAGCACUGAAGGAUGAGGUUGCUCUCCCAGCUACCAUGUUACAAGCAAACAAGACCGAGAUGGUGGACAAGGCCAUGAGUGUCAUUGUCUUGUGCCACACUGAUAAAGGUUUUAGAGAAAUCGUAAAGGAGCAAUUGACGAGUCCUACAAAAUCCUUGAUGAUUUGACAACUAUUAAAGUGGAUAUUGAGGAUGAAGACACGGAUAUACUCUUAUUAUUAUGAGCAUUAGCUAGAUCCUUUGAGAACUUCAAGGAUACUAUGCUUUAUGGUAAAGAAGUCAUUGUCACUUCGAGGAAGUCCAAGAGGCACAUAACCAAGUCCAAGAACUUGAAAGUUGAUGAUAGUGGUGAAGACAUGAGUGUCUAAAGAGGAAGACGUAUAAGUUGAUGAAAUCGAGGAAGCUCAAUUGAUGGUGCAAGUUGAAGUACAAAUACUCCAAGUGUCAAACGACCGGUCACUUCAAUAAGGACAUUCCCAAGUUAGAGGACAUUAAUGAUUCCGCACAAUUUGCAUUUGCAACAUCAGUGAAUGUUUUUGAAUGUUCACGGAAAGAACCUUUAAUUUCAAAUCAAUCUAUGCAACAAGAAGCUGAUAGUGUAGUGCAGAGAAGUAUGCUUUUGAAGUAUGAUUUCCAAGACAUCCUUAAUCACUUUGUCCAAGUUCAUGUAUGAAGAAUCACCAGGUCUUGUGUCCUUCUCUGCCUUCUUCUUCUUCAACUCCACGGCCUUUUGCCUCAUCUUUUUUCCUUUCUGUCCCACCAUUAAUUCAUUCAUCAGCUUCUCCACCUCCUCUCUCUUCACAUUUGUAUCAAUUUCGAUUCCGAUCUCCAACUUAUUACAAAUAUAUCUGCAGUAUGUUGGCUGCUCAGAAAAAAAAGGCCAACAUAACAUUGGUACUCUGGCACAAAUGCUUUCCAAUGUGGAGUUCCAUCCACAAUGAGUCAAGAAUCGUCCAACUGAAGGGUGGUUCAACACUUGCUCUUGCGGACACCAGCUUGCUAUUUGGCCUCUAUCCGAAGUUCCAUUCACAAACUCGGAUGACAAAAUAACUGAGCCACCAAUGACAAGCUAAGGCCUAAUGAUCCACAAAAAAGGUUUCUUGCUGUUGGCAAAACCUCAAGAGAACUCUAACUGCUCUGGAGUCAUAACCAUAGUGCUUCCAAAAUUCACAUAAACUACAGAACCUUGUUCCUUAGAUUCAAGACAUUUCAUAUCUUCUUUCCAAAGAUUGGAACCUAAAGAAGCCAAGUGCUUUUGGGGAUUUUGAUUCAAAAACGAAGAUAAAGGGCCAAUGGCGUAAAUAGAAGGGAUCUUAAUAGAUAGAGCCUUUACUACAUCACUCUCAAGUUCAUUAUAAGUAUUGAAAACAAUAGCGUUAGCUUCAUGAACCAUAUCGUCCGCUUCAAUGAUAAAAUUUAUCAUUAGGAUCAGUAGUUCUUAUAAAAUCAAGCAGGUCCUUUAGUCUAAUGUUUCGCAAACCUGGAAUCCAGUCAACUUUAGUGACCAAAUAUCCAUUUGUCAGAUAACUCAUCUGCAUAUUAUAAUCACAAAAUCCAUUAGCUUAAAGUUAAAACUCUGAACCCCUAAUAUAUAUCAUAUUAAUUCUAAUACUACAUUCUAUGUUGUAUACAUACUCUCAGUUUCUCCAAAGGAAGAACUUCCAUAGUAAAACUAAACUAUAGUAAUGAAACUCUUCACUUCUGCAUAAUAGUCCUACACUAUCGAUAAAGAAAGAACAUAAAUGAUUACCUUUGAGGGGUAUGACACCUUUAUCAAUAAAUGUACGAAAGAGCAAAGCACACAAAAGUGAGGAUGCACUAGCAGGAAUAAUUCAAUAUCAGAAACUAAGCAACUAACAGGAGGAAUAAGAUCAUCAUUGGAAGAAUCUUUUAAGUUUAGCAAGAAGUUCACAAAAAGGGUGAUAGAAAUUCUUUCUUAUUGAAUCAUCAAGAGAGACAAUUUCUUGACUAAUAUCACCAUAACCUUCUGUCGGAGUUAAACCAUCUGGAAUAGUCUCAAAGGUAAAAUCAGUGAAACCAUCAAAGGCUUUUGGACCUCUUGAUUUGAGCAAAUGUUUGUGAUUUCGGUGUUGACAAAGGUUAUGUGAAAGCCUCUAAGGUGAAGAAGUUUUGCUAGUUUCAAUAAUGGAUUGAUAUGGCCUUGAAGUGGAUAUGGAGUUAUGCUUACUGAUAUGAGUGAGAAGCAUAAGAAAAUCAUAAAUAUAUUUGACUUUAAUAGGUCCCCCAAAUCAUUGGAAUAUAAAAGUUAGGUGCACAAUUUUUCAUCAAGAAUUUGUUUGCAGCACGCAUUGGAAGUUUGUUUAUUUUUAUUCUCAUUAAGAAUUUGUUGGCACUGCACAUGCAUAUACAAUUGUUUCUUGGUUGAAAAAUAAUAUAUUUUUCAUGGUUUAUACUAUUUCAAUUCUUUUCUUGUUGAUAGUUGAAAUGGCAAGAAUCGUUGAAAACUCGCACACAUAAGUGGAGAAGUUUGGAUUCGAAACCCCAGUUACGGAGUUGGCCUAACAAUUUUGUUCUUUAUUGUCUAUUAAGCUAGAACUUGUCGACAUUUAUUUCCUGUUUUUUAUCAGACCAUACAUGUGAAUUUGAAUUGCAUGCAAGCACAAUUUCCACGCGAUCAGAAUUAAUUCAAUCAACAGCUCGGAGUCAUUUCAUCAAAUAUUCGACGUCUCUUAUUGUAGGAUAUGUGAAUCCAUUUUAAAAGCAAACUUAAAAUUGGAGUCGUCCAAUGUUAAUCUAAUAUCUCCGAGCUGCGCUGGCUGAACAAGUGCCUAAAAUUGUGAUUGUAGACAAAGGUUGCUAGUAAAAAUACUUCCUUAUCUUAGUUUUAAACGAUUCAUUAUAUUGCAUCUAAAUAGAAAAUAGAGAAAAACAUAAAAUUUAUAGUUCUGUUAUUGAUGAAAUGAUUUCCUAAAAGAAAAAAGCUUUGAAACUAUAACCUCUACGUACCGAGAAAUAGAAUGCUCAUAUACAUAUUCCCACCAAUAUUUUUCACUUCAAAUGAAUGUAACUAAAUGUAUCGGGGUCGUUUAGGUGUCAAAUAUCAACAUGUGAAGUGUCAAUGCUACACACUUUAAAACCUUCAACCUAAGUAAGCUUACCAUGUCUAUUUUAUUUUAAAACUGAUUUCUAUUUUAGAGUAAAAUAUUUACUUAUGACUUGUAUUUAAUUAGUUAAUCCUGAUAAAACUAUAAAUCUUGUAUAGAACGAUAGAACGAUAUUAAUUUAAACCUGUACACACAGAAAAAUGAUUGGUUUGCCUUAAUUUAUCCUAUACAUGAUAAUGGAAUUCAACAUAGUGUGCAAAAGCCUUACCUACCCCAUAUAAUUAUCCAAUUCAAUACAUUUAAUAUUAGCAAGAAGCACUAUUUUAGUUUAAGAAUUCUUGCACAAGAUAUGUUCGAUACAGUCAUCAUGAACUCAUUACUUAUUCACUACAAUAGCCUCAUCCCUUAAAUUCAAUAGCAGAAGAUCAAUGGAUCAAUAUAAUACUACAUUGCAUUAAAAACGUCACUUAGGUGUGAUUUUAUUUAAGCAAAACCUCCUUAAUCACUUUUUCCAAGUUCAUGUAUGAACAACCACCAGGUCUCGUGUCCUCCUCCGCCUUCUUCUUCAUCUCCAUUAUAUUUUUCCUCAUCUUCUUUCCUUUAUCUCCCACCAUCAAUUCAUUGACCAAAUUCUCCACCUCAUUUCUCUUCACAUUAGUAUCGAUUUCGAUUCCAAUCUCCCAUGUAUUGCAGAUAUAUCUACAGUUUGCUGGCUGAUCAGCAAAAAAUGGCUAACACAACAUUGGAACUCCAGUAGAUAUGCUUUCGGUCGUUGAGUUCCAUCCACAGUGAGUCAAGAAACCACCAAUUGAAGGAUGGUUCAAUACUUUCUCUUGCGAGCACCAACCAGCAAUUAGGCCUCUAUCUGAAAUUUCAUUCACAAACUCCGAUGACAAAACAACUGAGCCACCAAUGACAAGAUCGGGCCUAAUGAUCCACAAAAAGAGUUGCUUGCUAUUUGCUAAACCCCAUGCAAACUCUAACAGUUUUUCUGAAGUCAUAACUGUCCUGCUCCCAAAAUUCACAUAAACAACGGACCUCGGUUCCUUUGAUUCAAGCCAAUCAAGACACUUGUUAUCUUCUUUCCAAAGAUUGGUACUUAAACUUGCCAAGUGAUUCUGUGGACUUUGACUUAAAAGUGAAGAUAAAGGGCCAAUAGCAUAAACAUUAGGGAACGUCGAAGAGAUAACUUUCAUUACAUCCUUCUCAAGUUCAUUAGAAGUAUUAAAAAUAAAAGCAGAGGCUCUGUGAGCCCUUCCUGCUGCUUCAAUGAUAAAUUCUACCAUCGAAUCAUUUGGAUCAGUAAUCUGUAUAAAGGCAGGCAAAUCCCUCAGUCGAAAGUUCUUCAGUCCUGGCAUACAGUCCACUUUAGUGUCCAAAUAUCCGUUUGUCAGAUAACUCUCAUCUGCAUAUCAAAUUUACAAAAGUUGUUAGUGUGAAAUUGAAUCUCCAUACUCCAAAUAUAUGUCAUAUGAACACUUUAACUACUCUACACAUAUGAAGAAAGAAAGAAGAUUAAUUGUUACCUUUUAGUGGUAUGAGACCUUUAUCUAGAAAUGUACGUAAAUGAAUACCAGUCAGAAAUGUACAUGCAUUGGAUGGACUAAAGACAACAUUAGGGAUUGAAAGUUCUUCAGCAGCUUGUAUAGUAAAGGACAUGCUAAUAUCAGAAACUAUGCAACUAACUGGACGGACAAGACCAGAUGUUGCAGAGUCAUUAAGUCUAGCAAGAAGUUCGCGGAAAGGUUGUAGAAAAUUCUUCCUGAUUGAUUUACAAAGAGCGUAAAUGUCUUGACUAACAUCGCCAUCGCCAUCCGUUGGAGAUAAACCAUCUGGAAUACUCUCAAAGUUAAAAUUGGUGAAACCAUCAAAGGCAUUUUGACCUCUUGACUUGAGCAACCGUUUGUGAUUGUAUUCAGUGUUUACAUAGGUUAUGUGAAAACCUCUAAGGUGAAGAAAUUUUGCUAGUUGCAACAAUGGAUUGAUAUGGCCUUGAACUGGAUAUGGGAUUAACACAGCAUGUGGUUUUUUAUCACUCAUUAUUGAGUUUUUGUGUUUGAAUGUUGAGCUAAGGAAACCAAUGUUUUAAUAAAGAUAAAUCCAAUGUUUCUUGGAUUUGUGGAAAAGAAGAUAGAGACAAAAGACAAGGAAAGCAAAAUCAAAUUUAAAGGGUGAGAUCUUUUUCUUAUAAUAUGAAAUAAUUCUAAGUGACACAAUAAUUGAUGCAUACUAGUCAAGUCACCACUUUUUGUUACGUGAGAGAAGGAAAACAAUUUUUCAUUAAAAAGUUUAUAGCACAAACUUAAGAAUGCCUUUAGUAUGCGGUGGUCAGAAUUGAUUUAAAUAAAUUUGUUUGUUAAAAUUAGUUUUUGUUAAAAAGGGCGUUGGAUAUAAAAUUAUUUAUACUUAUAUAUAUUUACGUAAAUUUGAGUUGAGCAAAAAAUUAAAGACUUAAAAUCAAAGACUAAAAAUUGAAGACUUAUCUAACUUAAAUACUAUUAGUUAGACAUCGUUUGGGAUUUAUUUUGGAAUUGAUAGAAUAAUAAAGUUGAGAAACACUGUAUAUUGUGAUCCUAAGAUCACUAAUAUAACCAACCUUGCAUCUAAUCAUAACUAACUUUUUUUUAUAAGCAAUAAUCAUAACUAACUUAUAACUAUCUUAAACAAUACUAAACUAAUUUCAACAAAUAUGAAACUAUAUCUAACACAUACUUGCAUGGAAUUGCAACCAUUCAGUAGAAAGAUAUUAUCAAACAAAAUCUUCAUAUGCUUGUGGACCAACUCUAUACGUUUCAGUUUCAAAAUUGAACUAGAAGACACUUCUAUUCAAGUAUAAGAUAUAUAGUUCUGACAUCAAAGAUUUUUGUUGUACAAAGAAAAUAAUUAUGACCACUUAUUUAUUUUAUAAUAGUCUAUUGGCUAUUAUUUUCCAUGCUUGAAUCAGUCAGACAUUGGACAUCACAAAAAUAUUUGUCCCUUUCAACAAGAGCUCAAGAUUAUCUACAAAGUCUCAAUUCCAUAAAAGCCAAAUUCAUUUUUAUAUGUUGUCCCUUUACACAUGAAUUAUAAUCCUUUAUCACGCUACAACGUAUCAGCUCAAUGGUAAGAGUUUGAGCUUGUAAUCUCAAAGGACAAAGUUUAAAUUCCCUUAAUAACAAUGGUAAAAUGCUCAUUGUUGUAACUUUAAUUAAUAAACACUUAUUUUGACUAAUAGGAAUGUUAAAAUAUGUCUUGAAAUCUCAUGUUGAAAGUUUUUUUACUUUACUAUUGCCCCCAUGCGCUAGGCGCAGUUGUUUGUUGUUUUUAGCAUGUUUCUAUUUUGUAGCUUGCAUGAGGCGAAGGGUAUAGCUGAUUUAGCAGGUGUGCGUCAUGAUCUAUAUUAGUUAGGGGACAUUGAUGAUUCCACACAAUUGGCAUUUGCAAACAUCAAUGAAUGUUUUUGAAUGUUUAAAUAAGAAAGAACCUUUGAAUUCAAAUGCUUUCAAAUCAAUCUAUGCAACCAGAAGCUGACAAUGUAGUGCAGAGAAAUUUUAUAAAAGAUCAAAAGAAGAAUAUAAAUAUAAUAUUAAUAUGAUUUUCAACUAUUGUCUUACUUUGAUUCAGGUGAAUUCAAUCAAUCAAAAUUUGAAGGGGAAAAAUAAAGGUAUGUGAUCUUUAUUUAUGAAGAAUGAACUUGAUGAACAAGAAUGCAUCAUUACAAUGUUUCUGACUAAAUUGUUGAUGUUCAUACUUAAGAACAUAGGAAGACCUAAAAUAUGAAUUAUUUGUUCCUAACAAAACUAUAUAUAUUGUAUAAAAGUGACUUAAGCUUGAUUUUGUUUAAGCAACACCUCCUUAAUCACUUUCUCCAAGUUUGUGUAUGAACAACCUCCAGGUCUCGUGUCCACCUCCACCUUCUUCUUCAGCUCAAUGGCUUUUUGCCUCAUCUUCUUUCCUUUAUCUCCGGACAUCAAUUCAUUGACCAGUUUCUCCACCUCCUCCCUCUUUACAUUAGUAUCGAUUUCCUUUCCAAUCUCCCAUUCAUUGCAAAUAUAUCUGCAGUUUGCUGGCUGAUCCGAAAAAAAUGGCCAACAUAACAUUGGAACUCCAGCACAUAUGCUUUCAGUGGUUGAGUUCCAUCCGCAAUGAGUCAAGAAUCCACCGACUGAAAGGUGGUUCAAUACUUUCUCUUGUGGACACCAACUUGCUAUUAGUCCUCUAUCUGAAAUUUCUUUCAAAAAAUCAGAUGAGAAAACCACCGAGCCACCAAUGACAAGAUCAGGCCUAAUGAUCCACAAAAAGGGUUUUUUGCUGUUGGCCAAACCCCAAGCAAACUCUACGAGCUUCUCUCGAGACAUAACAGUGAUGCUGCCAAAAUUUACAUAAACAACAGAUCUUGGUUCUUUUGAUUCAAUCCAUUCAAGACAUUUAGUAUCUUCUUUCCAAAGAUUAGAGUCUAAAGAUGUCAAGUCAUUUUGUGGACUUUGAUUUACAAAAGAAGCUAAUGGACCAAUUGUGUAUAGAGAAGGGAACAUAGAAUAGAAAGCAUUCAUAACAUCACUCUCAAGUUCAUUAGAAGUAUUGAAUACCAUACCAGAAGCUCUAUGACAUUUAUCUGCCACUUCAGUAUUAAAUCUUAUCGUCAAGUCAUUAGGAUUUUUUGUCUUUAUUAACCUAGGAAGAUCCUUCAAUCUGAAGUUUUUCAAACCUGGGAUCCAGUCAAUUUUUGUGUCCAAAUAUUCAUUUGUUAGAUCACUCUCAUCUGCAUGUCAUAAUUGCAAAAAUCAAUAGCAAGUCAUAUGUAUAAAUAUAUAUAUCAAGGUUUAAAAUCACAUUUGCAAUAAUAAUUUUGGUUGUGUUAUCCUACUGAUAUUGCAUAUAAUCCCAAUCAAAUGUGGUUGAUGCAACCUCAAUUGCGAUUAUAGAGAUAUCGCAACCUUGAUGUUCGGCCCAUAUUGUGACCGCAAACCUUUUUUAAAAACCAUAACAUACACACACAGAUCUCUUAAGAAGAAAAAGGGAACAAAAAUGAUUACCUUUGAAUGGUACUUGACUAUUCAGAUACAUUUUAGGACUGAGCAAACAAGACAAGAAAUAACAUGCACUACAUGGGGAAAAAAGAACAAUUGGGAGGGCAUGUUCUUCAGCAGCAUCUACUGUAAAUGGCAUGUAGCAAUCAGAAACUAAGCAAGUGACUGGGGGGAUAAGACCAGCAGUGGCAGAGUCUUGAAGUUUAGCAAGAAGUUCAUCAAAGAAGUGGCGAAAGUUCGUUAUGAUUGAUUCACCAAGAGAGUGUAGGUCUUGACUUACAUCACCAUUACCAUCCUUUGGAGUUAAACCAUCUGGUAUAGUCUCAAAGUUAAAGUCAGUGAAACCAUCAAAGGCAUUUUCACCUCUUGAUUUGAGCAAACGUUUGUGAUUGUAUUCAGUGUUAACAAAGGUUAUGUGAAAGCCUCUAAGGUGAAGCAGUUUUGCUAUUUUCAACAAUGCAUUGAUAUGGCCUUGAACUGGAAAUGGAGUUAACACUGCAUGUGGCUUUUUCUCUUCAAAGUUACUCAUGAUUGAUAUUUUUCUUAUGUAAGAAAACUAAGAAAAAACUGAGGUGAAAAAUCUAUGAGGCCUCUAUAUAUAACAAUGAGUGAAUUUUGUUACGUAUCUAUUAUCUAUUGUAUAAUAUAAAAAAAUUCUUAAGAAUGGAAAAAACCAUUUUUCUUUUUGAAUAAUUCAAUUACUGUCUAAUUCAUUUUUAUCUAAUUUUUAGUAAAUUGAAAAUCGGAUUUUCUAAUUAAGAUAAUCCAUAUUUGAUAAUUUUUUCUAUACAUCAAACUUUCUUUAUAAACUCUUCCCCUUAAAUAUAUUAAGAGAAGGCCAUAUUUGACAAUAUAUCUUCUAAACCAAUAAAAAUCAAAUUGCAAAUUCUAUGGUACAGCCAAUAUAUUUGAAUGUACCGGUACACUUACUCUUUAAAUUAAUGGUUAAAUGAGUUGUUUUUUGAAGAAAAAUAUUAUUUUCUAUCCUUUAUAUUUAUAAUAACUAAAUCUUAUUCAUCAAAAGUGUUAACGAAAUAAAAUUAAUUUUUUUUGAAUUUUUAGCACUCAUAGUUGAGAAUAUUGAUUAUAUUUUACGAUAAUAUGCAAAAAAAUUACUAUAAUUCUUAUAAAUAAUGAACUGAUGUUUUUUCUUAUGAAAUGAUGUUCUAUAAAAUAUAAAUAUUGAUAAAUAGUUAUUUAUUUCACAAAAAAUAAUCGUUAAUUUAUAAAAUUAUGAAAAAAGAGUACCGGUACACCUCAUUUUGUGAGUCUACAAUAGAAGUUCCCCAAAUCAAAUACAGUCAAAAUAUACUUUAAGUAAAAAAAAUAAAAAUCAAAUAUACUUAAUACAAUAAAAAUCCAAUUUGGACUUGACAAAGAAAAAAAUCCAACAUGUGCAACAAAUUGACGUGGUGAACGAAAGCAACGUCUGCAUGUUGAAAGGAGACCACUUUCUGUGGUGGGGACUGAUUUUAUAUACAGACAAUGGUGUUCAGACGGGAACAGACUUGCCAGUCUAUUCUUUUAAUAGUGUUAAUUAAGGGUGUUUUGGUGCAUUUUUAAUCGAUUUUGAGGUUAAAAGUUAUCCAAAUCGUAAAAUAAAAGAGCAUCAUGUUUGAUUUAAUUGACUUUUAAAAUAAAACUUGAACCAAAUCAAUAUGGGUUGAAUUAUAUUGGUUCGUGUGGUUUUUUCGAGACUAUAAUUUUUUAUUUUUAACAUUAAAAUCGAGUUAAAAACUUAUAACACAACAUAUUUCCAAUAAUGUUUCCGACAAUGUUUUCAAUUUCAUCCAACAUGACAAUUUUAUUUUCACCAAAUAAUAAUAUAGACGAAAUUUAAAAUGUGGACAAAAAGUAAUCCUAUUAAAGAAAUGUAAAAUACUAAGAUUUAUCAUUCUAUAAAAUUUUAUUUUAUAAAAGUUUCCAUUUUUGAAAUAAAAAGUAAAGAAGAAAAUUAACAAGAGAAAAUAAUAUGUCGUUUUAUAAAAGUUUUCAUUGAAUUUCUAUGAGUAUUGGUCUACCUGAAUUAGGUUUAAUUAGCGUUUUUCUUAUGUUGCGGUUUAGUUUGGUUAAUAAAAUAAAAACUGCAAACCGAACCAAACCUUGCGGUUAAGUAAAAAAGUGAUCCGAAUUCAUCCAAACCAAAUGCAUUUUUUGCGGUUUUAGUUUGAGUUGGUUCGGUUUGCAGUUUUUCUACUGGAUUGGUCAGUUUUGAACACCACUAUUUUUUUUGUCUAGUAGCCUAGUGUCUGGAGCUCACACAAUUAAAUUUGAAGAAGUGGGGUAUCUGGGGUUCAAACCCCGACCCUGUAUAAAUUGUGCAAUGUUCUUAUCAAUUGAGCUAAGCUCACGGGGACGUUUCGAACACCUCUAGUGCUAAUGCAUAUAAAUUAUGAAUAUUUAGUAGUUUUUAUGAAAUUUUAAUUUUGAUUAAAAUUAUAGAUAUAGAUAUUUUGUUCUUUAUAUUCUAACAAAUUAUACUUAUUUUUUUUAAAUAACACUAACAAUAUAGCAAAUAUAAUAUAAAUUCUUAUCUUUUUAUUUAUAUUUUUAUUUUUAUAAGCCUUAUUUCAUAAGCCGUUUUCAGCAAAUUUUCAAAAAUGUUUUCAAAAUCAUUUAUGAAAACAUCUUAUAUAUGAAAACAAUUUAACAUAAAUUUAUCUUUUGCUGUAGAAAUAGUUUAUGCAUAAGUGCUCAUCAUAAUUAAUAAGAACUUGCGCUAUAAAUUAUUUAUCCAAACAUGGCCUCUAUUCAUUACUAUUCAACUUAUGAAGCGUGUAAGAAUUAUACUCCCCGAUGUCCAAAAAGGAACUGAAAGGUGAGCAUUUCUUAAUUCAUUGAUUUAGAAUUAUUAAGUUAUGUUUACAAUUUUUCAUGGUUCAUAUUUUUUUUCAGUUUUCAGUAGGACGCCUAUCUUACUUUUUAAUGAUUUAUUCUAUUGAAUUUAUAGAGAAAAGGAGGGAAACUGAAAAGUUAUAAAUCUGUUAUUGAUCAAAUGACUCCCUAAAACUAGUUCUGCAGUAUACCAAUCUUAUAUAUCAUUAAAAGCUUACUAGGGUUUUUUAUACAAGAAAAUGUUAAUGCUUAGUAUAUUAUGUAAGUAACCUGAAUUGGAAUCUUAGACCUCAUGUUAAGCAGUGGUUUAGAGUUUUUUUUUAUAUAAGAAAAUGUUAAUUGUAGUGAGUUAUGUUAGUAACCAGACUUGUUAGUUAUUGAUUUGAAUUCUGUUACAACUCAGACACUUAAGCUACCCCUUGAGGAUAAAAUUAUGCAAGAGUUACUUACAACAAAUAACUGUAGUAACCAUCGAUUUCAGAACUGGAUCCGCUGAUUGAACCAGGAAUCGGCCAGUCUAUACCGGUUGUUCAACCAUGGUCGGUUAUAAGUCUGUCAGAACCUCAUUCAACCAUGGUUUAUUCAACCGAAUCAUUGUUUUUUCGAAUGUUCAUACAUAUUUCGGGAAAUAUUCUUUAAUUCCUGGAUAUGAAAGACAACCAAAAUCUCAUAUUAGUUUUAUUCAUGGUCCUAUGUUAAAACCUGUUCUAUAAAGUAGCUGAUCUUAUGUACGCCUGAUAUAUUUGAAGUUUGAUCCUUCUGUUUGCAUAGGCUGUUCUUUGAUGAUAUUGAAAAUGAAUAGUAUAAUUGCAUAGUAGUACUCAACAUAAGUGAAUGUCUUUUAUUGUUAUAGGAUAGAACCUUUCAAAUCAAUCUCCGAAGCAAGAAGCUUACAAGCAAUGAGAAGUUUAUGAAUAUAAUAUUAAUGUGAUCUUUAGUUACGAAGAAUGAACUUGAUGAAGUUGAAUGCAUUGUUACGAUGUUCCUGACUAAAAUGUUGAUAUCCACACUUAAGAACAUAGGUAGACAUAAAAUGCAAAUUAUUUGGUCCGAACAAAACUAUAAAAAUCGUACAAAAGUCACUUAAGUUCGAUUUUGUUUGAGUAACACCUCCUUAAUCACUUUCUCCAAGUUCAUGUAUGAACAGCCUCCAGGUCUCGUGUCCUCCUCCACCUUCUUCUUCAACUCAAUUGCCUUUUGCCUCAUCUUCUUUGCUUUCUCUCCCACCAUCAAUUCAUUAACCAGCUUCUCCACCUCCUCUCUCUUCACAUUAGUGUCGAUUUCAAUUCCAAUUUUCCAUGUAUUGCAUAAAUAUCUGCAGCUUACUGGGUGAUCAGCGAAAAAUGGCCAACACAACAUUGGAACUCCAGCAGAUAUGCUUUCAGUGAUUGAGUUCCAUCCGCAAUGAGUCAAGAAUCCACCAAUUGAAGGGUGGUUCAGUACUUGCUCUUGCGGACACCAGCUCGUUAUUAGGCCUCUAUCUGAAAUUUCAUUCACAAACUCCGAUGACAAAACAGCUGAGCCGCCGAUGACAAGAUCGGGCCUAAUGAUCCACAAAAAGGGUUGCUUGCUAUUUGCUAAACCCCAUGCAAACUCUAACAGUUUUUCUGCAGUCAUAACUGUCAAGCUCCCAAAAUUCACAUAAACAACAGACCUAGGUUCCUUGGAUUCAAGCCAAUAAAGACACUUGGUAUCUUCUUUCCAAAAAUUGGUGCUUAAAGAUGUCAAAUGGUUUUCUGGACUUUGAUUUAAAAACGAAGAUAAAGGGCCAAUAGCAUGAAUACAAGGGAACACAGUGGAGAGAGCAUUCAUUACAUCCUUCUCAAGUUCAUUAGAAGUGUUUAAAAUAUAAGCAGAGGGUCGGUGAGCCCUUCCAGACGCUUCAAGGAUAAAUUCUACCAUGGAAUCAUUUGGAUAUUUUGCUCUUACAAAGUCCGGAAGAUCCUUGAUUCGGAAGUUUUUCAUGUUGGAAAUUUAGGUCUUAAUAUAAACAGAUUUCAUAAUACAUGUUCAACAACUAUGAAUCAAUAGCGGAAGCAAACAAAACAUUGAACAUGAUUAUGAUCGGAUCUACGACAUGUUUGAUUUACCAAGGAUAUUAAGAAUUAGGGUAUUAGGAAUACCUGGAUAAAGCUUUUGUAACAACCCUCUCAUCAACAACGAUAACCAAAGAGAGGAGAUGAUCUGAAACACGCAAUAGAGUUAGCGGCGGCUGAUUUGGUUCUUCCUCAACCGGUACCUUUAUGCCUCAAGUUCUCUUCAGAUGGGGAGAAGAGAGAGUAUUGCCGUGUACGGUGUAUUGGGGACCAUAGCCUCUUUUAUAUUGGAUGGCCAUUAGGGUUUCCCAUUAUUCCAUUAAUGGGUCAUCCGGACAUCCACUCAUGUUGAGUCCAUAUCAACUAAUUAAAUAAUUAAUUAUCCAAAAUAGAAAUCUAAUUAGCCUUAUUACUUAAUUUGAUCACUAAUCAAUUAAGGCUCACAAUUGAUAAAUAGCUAAUAUAAUUAUUAUUACGAUAUUUGCCCACAUAAUGAUAUUGGAAUAUUAUUAAUUAAUAAAAUAUUCCAACAUUUCAGUCCUGGAAUACAAUCUACUUUAGUGUCCAAAUAUCCGUUUGUGAGAUAACUGUCAUCUGUACAUCAAAUUACAAAAUCUGUUAACUUGAAAUGUCAUAUUAAUACUUUAACUACACUACAUCUAUGAAGAAAGAAAGAAGAUUAAUUGAUUGUUACCUUUUAGUGGUAUGACACCUUUGUCAAACAGUGUAGGUAAGUGAAAACAAGUCAAAAACAUACAUGCACUGGCUGGACUAAAGAAAACAACAGGGAUUGAAAGUUCUUCAGCAGCUUGUAUUGUAAAAUACAUGCUAUUAUCAGAAACUAUGCAAGUAACUGGAGGGACAAGACCAGAAGUGGCAGAGUCAUUAAGUCUAGCAAGAAGUUCACAAAAAGGUUGUAGGAAGUUCUUUCUGAUUGAUUCACAUAGAGCAUAUAUGUCUUGAUUAACAUCACUAUCGCCUUCUAUCGGAGUUAAACCAUCUGGAAUAGUCUCAAAGGUAAAAUCGGUGAAACCAUCAAACGCUUUUGGACCUCUUGAUUUGAGCAAGCGUUUGUGAUUGUAUUCGGUGUUGACAAAGGUUAUGUGAAAGCCUCUAAGGUGAAGAAGCUUUGCUAGUGUUAUUAAUGGAGUGAUAUGUCCUUGAAGUGGAUAUGGAAUCAACACUGCAUGUGGCUUUUUAUCAGAAAAAUGACUCAUUUCUGAGUUUUCU
This 63911-nucleotide long non-coding RNA is filed under the name Medicago truncatula (barrel medic). Its description in RNAcentral is "long non-coding RNA (MTRU_LNC003834)". The stretch from base 25764 to 25931 matches the Rfam family "MIR2680 microRNA precursor family". The record is from RNAcentral. Lineage: Eukaryota; Viridiplantae; Streptophyta; Magnoliopsida; Fabales; Fabaceae.